This 63690-nucleotide long non-coding RNA is filed under the name Vitis vinifera (wine grape). Its description in RNAcentral is "long non-coding RNA (VVIN_LNC000447)". The record is from RNAcentral. Lineage: Eukaryota; Viridiplantae; Streptophyta; Magnoliopsida; Vitales; Vitaceae.
CAGAACAGAUGGGCCUUCUUACAUCGGAUACAAAAAGGAUUUGAUCUUUGUUCACGUGUACAUUGAGGUAAACCCUGGAAUCAAAGCUAAUCUAGGCUUUAUAAUCGUGUCAUGGUCUUUUGUUGCCAAUAUUGAGGGGAGCCAAAAACCUUGUUUAGCCUUUCUCCAUGGUUUUAAAGCUAAUCUAGGCUUUAUAAUCGUGUCAUGGUCUUCUUAUAUGCCAAUAUUGAGGGGAGCCAAAAACCUUGUUUAGCCUUUCUCCAUGGUUUUGUUUUGCACAUACGGGUGGGGACCUAGUUUCCAUUUUUACCUAAAAUUUUCCCCGCCUGUGUUGGUGCAAAGUCUCAACUGAACUCAAAGGGGCUUUUCAGCUGUGCUAUGUGUAAUCCUUAGGACAGGUUGAUGCUGUGCUUCAGGUAGAUGCAGCCUUGUUUAUUAUUAUUUAAUUAGAAUUGUUGUUUGUUCUUCUUGUAGUCCUUACAUUUUGGUUUAAUUUCUCAUCUGUAAAUACUUCUUUUUUUUUCAAUGAUUAUGUGAAAACCCUUUUGAAUAAUCUAUGCAUUUGAAAUUUUAACUGGUAGGAAUGUAACAGCGUUGGUUGAGGAGGUGGGGGUCUUAAUUUGAAGAACAGUAGAGUUGUUGAGAUCCUGGACCGCACAUUUCAGGCAAAAUAUAAGCCCUUACACAAAGUAUAAGCCCCUACACAAAAUAUAAGCCUUCCAAUUGUAGUCAUUGCAUUGGUGGUGCAUUUGUCUACAAGUAACCCAACUUCCUAACUUCAAUUUCUUAUUCUUAAUUUCUCCUAUCCUUAAAUUCAUUUAAUUAAAUCCCAAUAAUCAUCUCAAAUUUUGGUAAAUGAAAUUGAAAUUAAGUUCACAAUAUUCAUAAUAUCAAUAUCAUUGUCUUCAACCCAAAUAUAAAACCAAGCAUGACCAAAAUCAAAUGUCGAAAGUUAUAAACAUAAACCUAAACAUACACACCAACAACAAAGUAUACAAUUAGCACCAAUUGACAGAAACAUAGAUUGGAAGACUCAACAAAUACAAACCUCCCGCCAGGCAAAUUAAUCUCUAACAUUGAAUACAAGCAAACUCUAUUCAACUCUAGAACUAUUAUUCACAUCACUGAAAAUAUAUGGAUGAUGUGUGUGUAUAUUAAAUAUACAAAUAAAAUAAAGUAAAGAAUUGAAACUCAAAUAAAAUUGAUCAAAGCUAGAAUUUGACUUAUUAAGACGAAUUUGUCCCGCUCAAGUGUUUAUGGUUUAUUAACAAUCGUCUCCCAGAAUACAACAAUCACUUUCUUGUGAUAGUAACACUCCAAAUUACAAAAAACAACGAAUCAUUUGGUGAUUUGUACUUCCUUGAAUACCAAAUAUUUGGUAGAAAAAACAAAUGGCUAGAUUUAAAGCUAAAGGAGGACUUGAAUAUUUCAAAUGACAAGAAAGGAGAAAGAGUUGAGAGAAUGGAUGAAUGAAAAAAUGAAUGAAUGAGAAAUGCCACGGGGGGUUCUUAUUUAUAGAUUUGUUGAUGACUUAUUAGAAGAGAUGUGUCUUUAAAAUAUCAUACGCAUCCUUUGAAAUAAGUAGUAUCUAUUAGAAAAAGAUGUGUCAUAAUUUCCAUUUACUUAUACUAGACACAUCAUUUGAAAUAAGUAGUAUCCAUUAGGAAAAGUUGCAACCUAAUGUCCAUUCACCUAUAUAAAUAUUCAAACAAGAAGAACCUCAAUUUCCCCUUAAAAAAAAAAAAAGAAGACCCAUUGAAAUAGAGUGUUCUAGAGUUAUAUUUGCUAAGCCAUUGAUGUCAAUCCAUCUUCCAAAUCCUAUAAUCUACCCCAUUGAGCCAGCCAGCCCUAAGUGGAAUUACACUUACUUGCCUUUUUGGAGAAGCAUGCAACUUCUAAGACGUACUCUAGUAAGUAGUUUUCUCCCUCUCACUUAGCAAUAUUUAGAUUAAUCUUUCAUUCUAGUCACCAUAUCAAGAUCUUUAAAUCAUUUCAUGUACUUGAUGACUAGCUAGGUAAGUCAAAACUAAGCAAUUGGACUCCUUGAGCUCUGUUCUAACUUGGAAAACAAUAAAGUAUCUUGAUGAUAUUUCAUAGAGGUCGUGGAUAUAGCUAUUUUUGAUAGCUUCUUGAUGUAGGGAGAAGACCUUUGAAACCAAUUAGUGAAUGCUUUCAUCGUGAGUUGGGAUGUAGGUGAUACUGUUCAUUCAAAUCAUACAAUUAAGCCCAUGAUUUUUAAACAUAUUAAUACUCAUGCAUUCCACGUUAUUUCUUUAUUACAGUUAAUGUUAAACAUGUAACGUGAGGUACUAAUCUCAUCUAUAACUCAAAGAAGGGCGGUAUAUCCUUGUUUAUAGGUACAUCUUAUAGGCAUCAAUAGUACUUUCUCUAUAUAUUAAUGGUACUGUCUUAAAUAAAAGUGGUACCUCAUUUUUUAGUGUUAGAUGUAUGAUGUUUAAAUGAAAUAAUACUCGAAUAUUUCAUGUCAUUUAUUUGUUAAGGUCGAUGUUGAGCAUGCAACGAGCGGAACUAACUCCCAACCUUUACAUGUGGUACCGUAAGUUAUAUGACUAAAAUAUUUUUAUUUAAUCUAUUUAUGAUAAGGUUUAUAAAAUAAAUAAAUAUUUUAUUUAGAAUAGAUAUAAAAAAUAUCUUUAACUUCUAUUUUUUUUUAAUGUAUUUAUGUUUAUAUUAAAUUUGUUCUCGUUAAUUAUUUAUUAUAUAUUAUUAUUUUAUGUUUAAAAUAUCUAUGAAUAUGAAAAGAUGAAAGAAUGAAAAAAAUGAAAUUAAAAGGAUUUCAUGAUAAAAGAUGUAGCUAAUAUAUUAAAAAAAAAAAAGGGUCAAAGGUAGUGUGACUUGAGGUCAUGUGAUGGAGGAAAAAACAAAAGAAAAAGGAAAAAUGAGGCAUGGUUAGUUUUAAGAAAAAAAUGGUUGACAGAUAUGAUCAGCUCUGUUGAGUUGUUAUGUCAAAAUUUAAAAAUAAAAUAAAAAUUGCUAUAGUUAAUCGACCAUAGGAAGGUUGGUUGAAGUGUAAACUUAGAAUUAUGAUAAUGUUAUUAUUAGAAUACAUGUGAGUCAAAUUAUUUUUCAGAAUUUAUGUGUUUUGAAAGUCAAAGUCAAAGAUUUUACCAAUUUUAUUUUUUAAAUAGUGUAUGGUUACAUGAUUUUCUUUUUCCUUUUUUAACAGCAAUAUUUGAUUUAAAAACAAAAUAAAAAAAACCCUUAUUCAUUUCCAAGUCUUAUUAAGCUUCAAAAAUAAUUUUAAUUUAUUUAUAUGAAAUUAUUUUAAUAUAAUUUUCAGAAAAAAAGAAUAUUUUUUUAUAAAUUUAUUUACAACAGUAUUUCACUUUAAUUUUUAUUUAAAUGCAAGUUAUUUAGAAAAAUAAAUAUUUUUAUAACUUUACCUAUCAGAAAUAUUUCAAUUAAAUAAAGAAGACUGUUUCCAAUUUUAUUUAAAAAUAAAAAAAUUAAUAUAAUUUUAUUAAUACAAAAGGAAAGACUAUUAAUAGAAAAAUGAAUUUUUAAAAAAUUAUUAAAAAAAUGUUUCAAUGCCUUUUUUUUAUUUACCAAAAAGAUCUAUUAUUUAAUUUUGUUUUAUUUUAAAAUAUAUAUAUUGAAAAUAAAGGUUUUAUUGGAAAAUUUUAUAAUGUUAUUAAAGCUUAAGAAAACUUAUCUUUGAUUCUAUAAAAAAGAGAUUUCAAAUUUAUUACUUGUAUAAAAUAAUAAAUAAAAUAAAAUAAAGAGUUCAACUAAUUUUUCAUAUUUUAUUUACAAAAUAGCAUUCUAAUUUGAUUUUUGAUUUUUUUUCUUUUUUUUUUAAAUAAAAAAAAUGGGAACUUUAAAAUUUUGCAUUUUGUUUAAGUAAAGAAAUUUAUAUUUUCACAAUUGAAUGUAAAAAGAACCCCAUUCAAUUUUAUUUAUCUACAAAUUUAUUUAAAAUUUUAUAACUUUAAAUAAGGAAUCUUUACUUGCUUGGGAAGAAAAUUGUCUUUUAUUAAAAAAGAUUUUUAUUUUUAUUUUUAUGAAUUUAUGUAAAAAAAUGCAUUUUAUUAAAAAAAAAAAAAGUUUUUUUGCGAGAAUAGUCCUAUUCAAAUUUAUUUACCAAAAAGGGAAUUUUUUUUUUUUUUUUUUAUUUUCAACUUUAUUAAGAAUAAAAUAAUAAUAAUAAUAAUAAUAAUAAUAAUAAUAAUUAAGAAAGAAAGAAUUUUUGUCUUUUUGAAGAGAAGUUCCACAAGCUUAUACAAAAUCAGACUUCUAUCUGUUUAUUUUUUUUUUAAUUUAUUUUAUUUAAAAAAAGACUUUCAAAUUUUAUUUACUAAAAGCUUUGCAACUUAUUAUUAUUUUCUUUUGUUUAGGUCAUUUUUAAUUUAAUAUAAAAGGAAUAUGUCAAAUUUAUUAUUAAAAAAAAAAAGGAAAACUCAAAUUUAUUAAAAACAUGAUUUUCGGAUUUUAAUAAUUUUUUUUAAUAUCUAAAAUGUUUUUUAAUAUUAAAACAGAGUUUUAAUUAAAAAAAUUAGUUUUAUAGAAUUGAGUUUAUCUAUUAAAAAUAAAAUAAAAUAAAGUUAUCUUCAUGACUCCAAAUUCAUAUUUAUUUAUUUUUGAGACAAAAAAACAAUUUAUUUAAAAAAAAUUGUAUAAAAAAGGGAUCUUGGUUUAUUAGAAAUAUGAAUUUUGAUUUACUUAAAAAAAAAAAUCAUUAUUAUUAAAAUAAACAAAUAAAUAAAUAGAUAAAUUUAAAAUUUUAAAAAAAAGGUUCAAUGAAAUAUUCUACAAACAAAAAAAAAACAUUAUUAUUUGUUUAUCAUUGGAUUUACACAAUAAUCCGAGAAUUAAGAACAACACAAAAUAAACGAAUAAAUAAAUAAACAAAUAAAUAAAAAGGGAUUUUGGUUUAUUAGAAAUAUGAAUUUUGGUUUACUUAAAAAAAGGCUAUUAUCAUCAUCAUCAUUAUUGAAAUAUUAUUAUUAUUAAAAUAAAUAAAAAAAUAAAUAGAUAAAUUUAAAAUUAAAAAAAAGGUUCAUUGAAAUAUUCUACAAACAAAAAAGCAUUAUUAUUUGUUUAUCAUUAGAUUUACACAAUAAUCCGAGAAUUAGGAACAACACAAAAUGAACGAAUAAAUAAAUAAAUGAAUAAAUAGAUAAGCAAAUUACUCAAAUGCAAAAAUGGCAUGUAGAAUAAAUCCAAUAUAUACAAAAAUAAAUAUAAGAUAAAAUAAAAAUAAAGAGGAGGACAGGGAUAGUUGGUAUACCCUUUACAAUGCAAUCCCAAAUCUAGUGACCCUCCAUAGCUUUCCCAACAAAGCUUAGAAAUACCUACAAACAUCUCAAACCUCUCACAGAAAAAAAAAAAACAAAGAAAAUACAGAGAGUUUUUCCAGAAAAAUCUAGAGAGAGCCAUCUUCCUUUUUCAAGUUGCAAGAUGGUCUUUUUAUCACCAAAUCAGGUUCACCAACUUUCUGCCCAUGCCCCUACCCAUGCCCAUGCCUUGCCUCCAACUACUCUGCUCCAACUAAUACACUGUGCACCAUGUGCCUUUUCUCGCUCUCGUAAAAAAUCAACCCAUGCAAAAUAAAAUAAAAUAAAAUAACAAAUGAACAGAAGAAGAUGACAAUAAACACAACCUAAAACUAGGCAAUAAUAACCUUAAAGCAAUAAUGUAGGCCCAAAGCAAAUCUAACUAAACCUAAGUAAAUUAUAAAUCCAUGAUGGGCCCAAACUUAUAUCAGAUUAACUAAAAUAUUGUAAUAGCAAACCCAAUACAAUUGCCUGAAGCCCAUCAACUAAUGUGAACAAAACCCACAAACACCCCAAACACAAAAACUGGUCACUGUGCAAAUCAACAUAAGGGUUUUACCUCAUGUUCUUGAAAUCACGUGAAGAAGGGUGGUGUAGUGAGAAAAUAUCCAUGGUAAUAGUAGUUGCUAUUGGAUAGAUAUGGAAAGGUGGUGGCCAUGGAAAGUGAAAUUGCUGUUGUUGGAGAUGGAAAGGCAUGUGGUAUUAGUGCAUGUGGAAAAGAGUGGUGGAGAGAGAAAAUGAUGAGAAAGAAAGGGAGAAAGGGAGAAAAUAAAGAUAAGAAAGAAGGAUGGUUGGUUGGAUGGAGGUGGUGUGUUGUUGCCAACAGUGGCACCGACAUCAUAUUGUCGACAACAACAUUGACAUCACAUCGCCGAUAGUGGCAGUGGUGACUGUCGCUGAUGGAAUGUGGUGCAUGCAUGGGUGAGAGAGAAAUGGGUAUGAAAAGAAAGGGAAAGUGAGAGAGAAAGAAAAGAAGAAUAGAUGAGAUGAGAAAUGGAAAGAAGGGUGUAUGGAAGGGAUACUGAAAUGGAGAUAAUAAAAAAGAAAAUGAAAAAAGAAAAGAAGAAUAGAUGAGAUGAGAACUAAAGACAAGGGUGUAUGGAAGAAUACUGAAAUGGAGAUAAUAAGAAAGAAAAUGAAAAAAGAAAAAUGGAAAUAGAAGAAACUGAGAAGAAAAGAAUAAGAAAAAAUAAGAAAUACGAUGGACGACUGAGUGAAAGAAUGUGUGGUCUUUAGGGUUUUCAGUAGAUGAACGGUGGAGAUUGAAGCAAAAAGGAAGGCCAAGAUUUAAUUCUCUAAUAAAAAUUGGAUUAAAAAUCUAAAGGAAUUUGCCUAAUAUACAUUAACCAAAAUUCCUAAAAUAAAUAAAGUAAAAAAAGUGAAAAAACUAAAUAAAUAAAAACAAAAUAAUAAAUAAAUAAAUAAAAUAAAAUAAAAUGAAAAGAGUUCAUGACAAAUUUUGGGGUCUACAAAUAUGCCCCUUUUCGAUAGAGUCCAUAAGUAAAGUAAGUGUAUACAUAGGCGAAACGAAGUAGACUCUACUGAAGAACAAGAAAGACCACCAAAUUUGCCCCAAUAUGACACGAGCUCCCCGAAUCAAAACAAAACAAAAAAGGCUUUAAAACUCUAUAAAAAGGGUAAGAAUGGAAACUCUUUAAGGUGUCUCUAAAGUUACACUAUGGAUUAAGACUCCCUUUGAAAAGUCUCCAAAAGUGACUCAAAAAUCAAUAUUGAAGUCGAGUAGUAGCCGAAUCACCAAAGAGCACAAGAAUGAGCACAAAGAGAAAAACCAUACGAGGACACAAGACAUAGGGUAUCUAACAAUACAAUCAAGAAACAUGCUACGAGCUCAAAGAGCUAUAUCACACAUAAUGGAUGAGGACAAACUCUGGAAAACUACGACUUUGAGAACCUGAAAUGUGGCUUUGAAUGCCAAAACUAAGAUGAACGAUUUUGAACAACUAAACUAUGGCUCUAAAUGCCUAAUUGUGAGCAAUGGCUUUGAACGCCAAACUAAGAAAUGAAUUUGAACACCUAAGUGAGGAGUGUGGCUAUGAACACCUACGAGAGAAAUGGCUCUGAACGCUUAUGAAGGAAAUGACUCUGAAUGCCUAUGAAAAUUGUGGCUUUGAACGCUUAAACUAAAAGAGGUGGCUAUGAAUGCCUAAACUAAAAGAGGUGGCUCUGAAUGCCUAAAAUUACAGUUCUGAAUGCCUAAACCAAAAGCAAGUGGCUUUGAACACCUGAAAUGAAAGAGGUGGCUCUGAACGCCUGAAAUGAAAAAGAUGGCUUUGAACGCCUAAGCUGAAAGAGUGUAGCUCUGAAUGCCUAAACUGAAAUAGAGUGGCUCUAGACACCUAAAAUUGUGGCUUUGAACGCCUAAGUUGGAGAAGUGGCUUUGAAUGCCUAAACUAAAAUAAGAUGGCUUUGAACACCUAAAACUGUGGCUUUGAACGCCUAAAACUAUGAAGAAAUGAUGGCUCUGAACGCCUCAACUAGAGAAGUGGCUAUGAACACCUAAAUUGGAAGAAGAUGACUCUGAAUACCUAUCUAAAGAAGGUGGCUCUAAACGCCUAAAUGAGGAAAAUGGCUCUGAACGACUAUGAAAGUGAUGACUUUGAACGCCUCUGGGAGGAAUGGCUCUGAACGCCUAUGAAAGUGGUGGUGACUUUGAAUGCCAAAUUGAAAAAGGUGGCUCUGAACGCUUAAUUUGAGGAAGUGGCUCUGAAUGCCUAAUAUGAUGAAGUGGCCCUAAAUGCUUAAACUAAAGAAGGUGGCUCUGAACGCCUAAUUGAGGAAGGUGGAAUUGAGCAAAAUGGCUCAAAACGCUUACUGGCUUUGAAUGCUUAAAUUAAGCAAGAUGGCUCUGAACGCCUAAGUUGAGGAAGGUGGCUUUGAACACCUAAGCCGAGGAAGGUGGCUCUGAACGCCUAAACUGAGCAAGGUGGAUUUGGAUGCCUAAACUAUGGAAGAUGGCUCUAAAUGCCUAACUGAGCAAGGUGGCAUUGAACGUCUGACUAAUGAAGGUGGCUUUGAAUGCCUAAACUGAAGAAGGUGACUCUGAAUGCCUAAAUUGAAAGAAAUGACUCUGAACGCCUAAACUGAAAGAAAUGACUCUGAAUGCCUAAAUUGGAAGAGAUGACUUUGAAUGCCUAAAAUUACAACUUAGAAUGCCUAUGAGAGAAAGUGGUGGCUCUAAAUGGAUAAAAUGAAAGAAAUGACUCUGAAUGCCUAAAACUAUGGGUUUAAACACCCAAAACUAUGGCUCUAAAUGGCUAAACCAAAAGAGAUAUGGCUCUGAAAGCCUAAAAUUAUGGCUAUGAACGACUAAACAGAAAGAAAUGACAUUGAACACCUAAAUUGGAAGAAAUGACUCUGAACACCUAAUUGAAAGAAAUGACUCUAAACGGAUAAAUUGGAAAAAAUGGCUUUGAAAGCCUAAAAUUGUGGCUUUGAACGCCUAAAAUUGGAAGAUAUGGCUUUGAAUGCCUAAAAUUGUGGCUCUAAAUGCCUAAAUUAGAAGAGAUGGCUCUAAAUGCCUAAAACUGUGGCUUUGAAUGCCUAUGAGAGAAAGUGGUGGCUCUGAACACCUAAACUGAAAGAGGUGGCUCUGAAUGCCUAAAAUUAUGGCUCUAAACGCCUAAUUGUGAGGAAAUGAUGAGAGAAAAUAUGCCUCAGUGUAGUGUGUCAUCACAACUCUCAAUCCAAUGAAAGAGUCUAAAAGAGACUCUAUGAGUCUCAAAAGAUGCUCCGCUAGCAAGUUGGAAUGGUCAAAUCGACUAUAAAUAUAGUCUCACAACCCAUCUAACCAAAUCACGAGGCUUGACUAAGUGUCAUAAUAAUCUGGAUGCCUUUAACUCAAAAUACUUUACUGGAGGAAUCCAUCGUCAUCUAAAAUGAACAAUCCAUUGAGGAGUCUCAAGAAAAAUAGUCUACUAGGGCAACUGCCACUGCCUCAACAUAACGAUCUACUAAGAAGUCAUAAAUAGUGGGAUAGUCAAAACCCAAAGGUCAUGCUCCUUUGAAGGCUCAUCUUGGCAAGAUCAUCGAAACUGUGACCAGUAAUGUGAAUAAAUAUCCAUCAACCAAAUAAAGAAGACUGUAACAGCUUCGUGAGAAGACAAUCAUCUCUACAACAAAAGAGAGGAAAAUAUGCCUUAGUAUAGCAACUGAUGCAUCCUAUCAUGCAGGUAACCCAAUUGCUUAAGCCAAUCAACUCUAUACCCAGAAGUCAAACUACCCACAACUUAAAAAGUAUAAGCAUAUUGGUCGGCCCUGGUGACUCCCUGGUGACUCAACAAUGAUCCACUAAGGUAACCAAUAAGAUAAAGUUCGUCAUCAACAUAAAUGCUCCACUAGGGACGACGCAAGUAAGUGAGUCUGUUAAUGGCUCGAAAUGAUCAGAUAGGGAAUGAAAGAGGAGUCUGUCAUUAACUCAAGGAUACUCCACUGAGGGUGAUGAGAGUGAGUUUGUCAUCAGUUAAAAAAUAUUCCGCUAGGGAUGAUGAACAUAAGCAUGUCGGUGGCUGACUCAAGAAUACUCUAAUAAGGAUGUUUAGGAGGUUUGACAUAUGCUUUGCUGAAACAAUGGUAUGAGAAUCUACGCGCCUUGAGAUAACUCCAUUGAAUAAUUGUGUCAAUAUCGAAAAAUGGGAGCAUGACUGAAUGACAUAAGGAGGCUCCACUAAGGAAUCAUGAUAAAAUAACAAUGGACCAUCAGUUUGACAUGCAUCUUGUAAGUGAUGAGGAUCAUGUGAAUCCAUGAAGAUCUAUAAAUCUCAACCAAAAAGGAAAUAUGCCCUAGUAUAACAUCAGAUGUACGGUAGAUAGGAAAAUCAAACAACAUUGAAUCAUCCACAUUAAAUGUGUAAUCCCAAUCCUCCAUAUCCACAAUUGAAUUAGAUCCAAACAUCAAAAGGGUGUCCCCCAGAAGGAAAAACAUGAUGACAUCUAAAUAUCGACCAAAUCUCAAACAUCUAUCCAAGUAGAGGCUAUCGAAGAUGACAUCUGAUACCAUGGCCUCAGGGUGGUCUUAAGACACGGGACGAAAUGUAGGUUAGGGUAAUAAGGUGAAGAUAUGAAGGAAAACUAGACUCAAAUACCCAAUGAUCAAAACCCAUACCCUCAUGUAUAAAAUGCAACAUGUGUAGAAAAUCUCAUGAGCUGUGGACCUAAGGGUGCCCAAUGUGAAUAUAAUAUCAAUAAUGAGACAAUGAAGCAAAUUGAAUUGAUAAAGAGAUGUAUAAGGAUGAUGCAAAGAAAAAAUCAAACCCAGAAUAAGUCAUUGUAGGGAAAGAACAAGGGGUGAAACGAAGAAGAUGAAUCGAGAACAAUAGCGAGGAUGAUGACGAAAUGAUGAACACAUAAAGAGGAAUGAUGAUAAACUCAAAUCAGAAUACGGAGUAAAAGUCACAUCAACAAUCAAUAUAAUGAUGGAAAGGACAAUGACCUAGAACCCUUAAGAGAAGGUCGCUCAUUUCUCACUUUGAAAACAAAUAUGAUAAAAUGAAUACAAAAAAGAGAGGAUCUCAGAAAACUCACAUACGAGCUCUCACCAACAAACAUACUUGAUAAAGUGACCCUCAGAUAUCAAUAUACAUGCUUAAUGAUGAAGAAUACUAUGCACAUACACACAUGUGCUUAUUUUUAUCUUUUUUUUUGUAUGUUUUUUUUUUUAACAUAUAUACAAAUACGCUUACCUUGAACAUAAACAAAUGAGCCUUGAAGAUGAGAUCAAAAAAUGGAUAGACAUACUCUCAAGUGCUAGUGUAACAUAAAAUUUCUCUGACGAGAUGACCUUCUCAACCUAAGGCUCUCCAGAUCAAUGUUCGUGGGAUAGAUAAUGGAAAAAAUGUGACUAUCCUCCAUGUAAUGAAUUGAGGAUGAACAUUAAUCAGGGUGGAGAAAAGAUGAAGCAGAACAAGUAGCAAAUAAGACCAAGAGUAGGAUGAAGAACAUGAACAAUGAGAUGUGAAGAAGUGUGGUAAUGUGAUGAUAGAAAAAUAAUGAGAAAGAUGUGCCCAUAGGCCUAGGGAUCAUGAAACUCCUAAACAAAGCAUGCAUACAUUGAAGGGCCCCUAUCCCAGUGUAGAAAUGUAAGUAGGCAAUAAGAAAUAAAGACUAUGAUGCACAUGCGAGGCUCAAUGGGCUAGCAACGGUUUAUAUGUCAAAAAAGGGAUAACAAGGUAUAUGGCUAAUCGAAAUGAUGACCACUUAUCCAAUGACCAUAGUCUCAAACAUAAUACUUCUUUAGUUGAUCUAUAUUGGUUGGCUCUGAAAAUUGGUUUCCAUCUAAAUCCAUUAGCCAUGUGGUGCUCUCUAGGAUCACAUCUCUAAUGAAAUAAGGUCCGCUGCAACUAGGUCUAAGUUUUCCCCUUAGAUCUCUGAUUAAUCCUUUGAUGAUCCUCAAGACCUCUCUGUAAUGGUCUAGGCUUGACCCGCUUCUUGAAAACAUAGGCCAUCUUUCUCUGAUAGGCAUGAACAUGGUUUACUAUCCUCAAUCUCCUCUCAUCUAAGAGAUUAUGCUGGUUUAAUCGAGCCUGAGCUCAAUCUACUUUUGAAAUCUGUUGCUCCAAUGCUACCCUCAAUGAACCCAUCUCUAUUUCAACUGGUAGGAUUGCCUCCAUACCAUACACCAAGGAAUAGGGUGUGGCUCCUAUAGAGGUGCGAAAAGAAGUCCGAUAAGCCCACAAUGCAAAAAGGAGCUUCUUUGACCAAUCCCGAGAAGUCUCAACUAUCCUCCGUAAAAUCCUCUUAAUAUUCUUAUUCAUAGCCUCUAUUGUCCUGUUAAUCUGCGGCUUGUACGCAAACAAUCUAUGAUGUUAGAUACCAUAUCUCUAUAAUAGGGUGUUAAACUCUCUCAUUAUCAAUUGACAAGGUUGAAGCUAUUCUAUCUAAUUUUUUUUAUAGAUAGUUUUCAUGAAUAAAACAAAAAAUAAAAAAUUAACCCUAUGGUUUUUAAAAUUGUUCGCUGUACAAUGAAAAUGAAAAAAAGACUUCUUUUUUUUUUUCUCCUCUUGAGUUAAGUAAAAAAAAAAAAAUGAAUUGAAUACGUUUGGCGUUUGUGAGAACCAUUUGAAUCAAGUAGUGCAGUGAUUCAAAUGGUUCUGGUUUUCCCCGGCUUACACAAAGUUUAUAUGUAUAUACACUACCCUGUGUCUGUAUUCAUCAGUCCUUUCCUCAAUUCAAAGGUUAGAUGAAAAUGUAAAUGAUCCGCCCUGAAAUGUACUCUUCUAUUCGAAAUCAGCUCAUGAGGGGCUCCAUAGUGACAAAUAAUGUGUGAUAUGAUGAAACUAGCGACCCCAGAUGACGUCAAUCUCGCAUAUAAGGCAACCUCUACCCACUUGGUGAAAUAAUCAAUGGCGACAAAGAUGAACUUAUGACCAUUGGAAGACUUCGGCAAAAUCUUCCUAAUAAUGUUCAUACCUCAUACUGAAAAUGGUCAUGGUGAAGUCAAUGCAUGUAACUCUGAAGGUGGCACAUGAAUGAGGUCCUCAUGUAUCUGACACUCUGAACAUCUCUUAACAAAUUGACAAUAGUUUGUCUUCAUGGUCAACUAAAGAUAGUUAGUCCUCAUGAUCUUAUGGACUAACAUAUGUCUUUUCAUAUGUGGUCCACAGACUCCCACAUGAACCUUUCUUAUCACUCGAUCAGCAGAGACACGGUCUAAGCACAAUAGUAACAUCUCAUUAGCAUAUCGUUUGUACAGUGUUUCCCCACAAAUCACAAAUCGGGUGGCUAACUGUUUCAAUGCUCUCUUAUCCUUGGUCGUGGUGACCUCAAGAUAUGUGCCAAAACUCAAGAACUGGUAUAUGUCAUGGUAUCAAGUCAAGCCAUCAUCUAACUCUGCUUCGUCAAUCAAGCAACAUUAGGCAGUAACAGAUCUUGACUAGAUUAAUAAAGGUCGAACAACGGUAUCAGCAAGAAUAUCAAUCAUGGAAGCUAAAGUAGCUAAGACAUCAACAAGCUGGUUUUGCGCUCUAGGCAAAUGUUUAUACCUCAAAUCAUCAAAUCUCCCAACUAAUAGCUACAAGCAUGCAUAGGCCUAAGCUUCACAUCUCUAGUCUUCCAAUGGCCCUGAAUCUGUCUCAAUACCAGAUUGAAGUCACUAAACACCUCCAUUUGUUUGAUCCCAAGCUCAAAGGCUAUCUCUAAUCUCAAGAUACAUGCCUCAUACUCAACAAUAUUGUUUGUGGCAGGGUGUCGAUCAGAAAACCCCAAAUGAAUAGAUCUAGGAAUGUGGUCACCAUGAGGGGAUAUCAACAAAACACCUAUCCCAUAUCCCGAAUGUUGGCUGCACCAUCAAAGUACAUGCACCAACCUGACAAACUAGUCACUAUAGCGAUAUCCUCAUCUUGAAAGUCAUCAUCAAUUGUUGUAGCAUCAGAAACUAGUAAUGAGGCCAAGUGAUCACAACAAUGCUCCCUUUGAUAGACUUCUGAGUAACAUAAUGAAUAUCAAACUCAGUCAAGAGUACUAACCAUCUCAUAAGUUGACCAACCAAAGUAGGCUUAUCAAAAAAAUAUCUUAAAGGAUCUAGACGGAAUAUAAAGUGCACUGAAUACUCAGUCAUGUAAUGUCUCAGUCUCCGAGUAGUCCAAACCAAUGCCAAACGAAGGCGCUCAAUCAUGACGUAUCUCAUCUCAUAAUCUAGCAUCCUCUUACUCAAAUAAUAAAUAGCUCGCUCAUUUCCUGAAUUAUUGAGUUGAGCUAACAUACAUCCCAAGGCUAUAUCUGAAACUGAUAAGUAUAAGAGAAGAGGGCGGCCUGGUGUAUGAGCUACCAAUAUUGGAGGUGACAACAAAUACUCCUUAAUCCUCUCAAAUGCAUGCUAGUACUGAUCAUCCCAAACAGUAGGUUGACUUUUCCUCAAAAGUCGAAAAAUGACUCACAAAUAUCUGUUAGUUUAGAAUUGAAUCUAUUGAUGUACUGAAGUUUACCCAAGAAGCCCCUGAUCUCUUUCUCAGUCCUCGAUGCAGGCAUGCCAAGAAUGACUCUGAUCUUAUUUGGAUUUGUCUCUAUGCCUCUCUCACUGACCAUGUAUCCCAACAAGUUCCUAGAAAUCACUCCAAAGGUGCACUUAUUGGGAUUCAAUCUCAGUCUAAACUGCUUGAUCAUCUUAAAGAAUCUCUUCAAAGUUGUUAGAUGAUCUGUUGUACCUUAGGAUUUCACUAUCAUGUCGUCCACAUCAACCUCGACAUCCCGGUGCAUCAUAUCAUGGAAAAUGAUGGUCGCUGCUCUCUGGUAGGUAACUUCUGCAUUCUUUAACCUAAACGGUAUCACUCUAUAGCAGUAAGUACCCCACUUAGUGAUAAUGGAAGUCUUUUCCAUGUCCUCUAGAGCCAUCAGAGUUUGAUUAUACUAAAAAACUUGUCCAUAAAGGACAACAUCGAAUGACUUGUUGUUAGGGAUGGCAAUUUUCUGGGCUAAUCGGGUAACCCGCCCUGCCCCUAUUGGGACGAGUGUAAAAUAUAAUAAACGAGUAUAGGUCGGGUAUGAGAAUAUUUUAAAAACCCAAAUUGGGUUUGGGACGGGUAUGGAUUUUGUUCCAACCCGGCCCGCCCUACCCCAAAUAUAUACUUACAAAAUUACCAUUGAACAACUACUAAAAUGUCAAAAAACUCUCCAUAUAUAUAUAUAUAUAUACUUCAUUCUUCCCCAUUUGCCCUAAUUCUGACGGCUGCUCCUCUUUCUUAUUCUUCCUCUGAUACAGUGGUCUUUCAUUUUUCCCAGCCCUAAUUCCGACAGUUGCUUCUUUUUCUUCCUGACAACCGCUUCUUCUUCUUCUUCCUCUAAUGCACUGCUUGAAACCCUAUCUCCAGGAUCAAUACUACUUUUUCUUCCUCCCUCACACCAACUAAAAUACUCUGAAAUCAAUUCCAUCUUGUUCUUGGUUUAGCCUCAGAGCUUAAAACCCCUCUUUCACGACAUGAAACUAGUCACAGACUCGAUCUCCUUGCCUUAAAUAUGUGCAACACAAUCAUCUAGAUCAUCUUGAAAUCUUUGUCCGAGAGCACACACACAAAAGGAACGAGAAAGCCUUUGAAGUAGUGGAAUUGAUGAAGUCUUGGUUCAAAGAUUGGCUUGAAGAAGGAAUCACAUCCAUGGCUGAUAUUGACCAAUUUUCUCGUUUGGUUCAGUUUUCAUUAUGUUCUCUUAUAAAUGGUUUAGAUGGUUUUUUUUUUUUUUUGUGUUUUUCAUUAAUUUUGAAUCAUUUAAGCUAACUAUGGGCUUAAAAUUAUUGAUUGUUGUGGUGUUAAUUUCAACUUUGAUAUUAUUUUUUCAUAUUUGGAAUAUUAUCAUAAUUAGUGAAAGGAAAGUGUAUUUGGGUAUGAGAUUUGCUCAUUGCCAGUUAGGGUUAGGGCUAAUGGACAUUCGAGAUGAGGUGGAGAUGGGAUUAUUAAUUCUUUUGUUAACGGGGAUGAGGACCAAUCAACCCGCCUCGACACUAGUUUGUGUCGGGGAUGGAAAAUAACUGUAUAAUCAAGUGCGAGAAUAAGAUGGGAAUGACUCGUCCCAAACCUGUUCUGUUGCCAUUCCUAUUUGUUGUACUGUCAACUAGCAUGUCAAUGUGAGGAAGAGGAAAAUCAUCAUUAGGAUUGGCCUUAUGGAGAUCUCAAAAUCAACAUAGACUCUCACCUUGUCGUCCCUUUUGGGAACAAGGACGACAUUGGCCAGCCACUCGAGAUACUCGACCACUAAUAAAAAUAUCACGCUGAACUGCUUCUGAAUCUCUUCCUUCACCUACAAACUCCAACAAGGGUGAAAUCGUCUCAACUUCUGCUUAACCGGUUUGGCAUGAGGCAGAAGUGGUAAGUGAUGUUGGACUAUGGAUGGAUCAAGGCCCAACAUGUUCUCAUAAGACCAUGCAAAACAUCCAAAUAUGAUUUGAGUAGCUGGACGAGGCUAGCCCUCUCAUCUAUAGACAAAUCCAAUCCAAUCCGCAGCUCCCUAGGUUGGUUUGAUGUACCAAAAUCAACAAUCUCAGCGUAUCCUAUAGUAGGUGAAACUCUCUCAUAAGUAGGGCUUGAAUCAGAAGCGACAGAGGAGUCCUCAUUUGAAUCAUGUUGCAUAGACUCAUUAUCCACGUCAUACACAUGUGAUGUGGGUAAAGAAAGUGCAAAUAAAGAAAAAUUAGUAUCACAAGAGAUAGACGAAUACUAAAAAAAGCUCAUAUCCAUAUAUGAAGAAAGAGCCGGUACAUUAUCCAUACGAGAGACAAAUCCCAAUAAAACAUCAAAAGAAAGUGAUGGGUCCACAUGCUUGAACUUUACCACAACUAGGCUAAUAACGCCCUCAAAUACAUCAUCAUCGUGAAUAACAUCAGUAAGUAACCUAGGAGCAGGGACAAACUGAACAUCCUUAACCAUCUCAAUAGCAAGUACUCCAAACAGAUUGAGUGGAGAAGCAAUUUCUGGUUAAACAUCAUUGGUAAUCUGACUCAUGUCUACCAUGAACAUUUCAUUGCUAUACUCAUCAUGUGAAACAACCCCAUCUAUGUUGUCUGCAAUCUCAAUAGAUGUCCCAUACUGAUCAGUCUUAUCUGGGAAAUAAAGUGUCACUAGGCUCGUAUGACCUAAAGACGGAAGAGUGACCUAAACAAAAGUGGAAGUGCUAGGAGCUCCAUCACUCAACUGCAAUUGAUGAACGAGACAUUGAAGCUCAGCCUCCUAAUCAACACUAUGUCCACUAGUGAUCAUUUCUGAAUGCAUUUGUAUCUCUAAUGCCCUCACAAAGUAAUAUGCUAAGUUCAUCCUGUAUGAGCAAACAAGAUAGUCAAAUGGCAUGUGAAGCAGGCAAGCUCUGAGUCUCUCAUUGCAUAGAAGCUCCAUGUAUAUGUAAUCAGCCUCUGUAAAAACAAAAACCAAGAUCGAAAGAAGUAUCAUGAUCAACUGUGGCAAUGAACUCUCCAGGGCCAUGCUGACGAUGCCCUAAACCCAAACCAGGUAAGAAAAACAUAGAUCUCAUCAUGUCCAGGACCAUAAUACUACCAUGCUCAUCAAAGGGAAGUGCCACAUAAUCUCUAUAGAAGUGCUCAACCUCCACAAUCUGUAUCUCAUCAAAGGCGAAGCUAGUAAGAAACAGGUCACCGUUACCAUGACUAAUCUCCAAUAUUGGCUCUAAAGUAAAAUAAGUGUCUCCAAUAGAUUGUAUAGUAAUGACUCCACCCUCAUGUAUAAACUUUACCUUAUGAUGAAGGAAAUAUGGUAUAGCUCUUGCUCUAUGGAUCCAAGGUUAACCCAGUAACAGGUUAAAAGAUGUGAGGAUCCUUAAAACUUGAAACAAAGCAGAGAAUGUGACCGGGCCUAUCUGCAAGUCUAAUGUCAACGUACCCAAAACCUCUCUACGUGUACUAUCAUAGACUCGAACUAUUUGAGAAGAUGGCUCAAAGUUUGAAGAUCCAAAACCAAGAGAGACUGUUGUAGUUAGUAGGCAAACGUUCAAGGUAGAGUAGUUGUCUAGAAUGAUAGAUGGAACUCGAUGCUCGGAACAACCAACAAAAAAGUAGAAAGGUAGAGUAUGGUCAAAACCCAUAGGGGGUAGAUCAUCAGUAGAAAAGACAAUGCAUGUGGCCCUAUCAGCUGUCAACAUAUGGAUCAAUCUCUCAAGGGAGGUAGAUGUCUCAACUCGUAUGUGACUCAACGCCUUGACCAGUGCCUCCGGGUGAGAUGUAGAUGAUGCCAAAAGACUCCAAGUGGAGAUGCGGGUUGAGUGCUCUGAAGUUGCCUCAAAAUCUCAUCAUCCUCUCAUCUGAUUUCCUCUCAAGUGGCAUCACUUUCUAAAGGUCUAACAACUAUGGGAGGUUUCUGUUGUACUACCAUGCCACCACGGAUGACAUACUAAGCAUCUUGAGUAAUCGUCUCAUCAAAAUCUCAACUUAAUAUAAACGAAGAUUGAAUGAUAUAGCAUGGGCAAAUCAACUACCCAACCGUAGUCAAUUGCACUGGUGAUGUGUCAGGAACUAGUCUAAAUGGUGCAGAUGCUUGUGGGUCUGAGAUCACUCCAUCAACCUCAUAGCUCUCAUCCACUACUAUAGGCUCUGGCUUAGAAUCAUCCCAACUUAGCUUAUAAAUACGAUCAGCAAGCUCAGUGAAAUCCAUGAAGUGUACACCACCAACUAGAUGAGGAACUGCAUGUGAAGUAUGAGCUGGUAGAGGGUUAAUAGUUACACUUGGUUGACCCAAGUGAAUCAAACCCUAAUCUAUCAAGUCUUGGAUAGCAUGCCUUAAAGCAAUACAACGAUCAGUCUCAUACCUUGGCCCCUAAUGGUAUGUGCAGUGUAGAUUUAUCCUAAACUGUGGCGGUAUAGGUUAAGACAAUGGCCUAGGAGCAAGAAACAUCAAUAAUCUAGUAUUUGUGAGUUUUCGAAGAGCUUAGCUCAACAACAUACCCAACUGCGAAAACUGUCUUAGUGUCCUCAAAGCAAAAUGAGCAAAUGCUUGUGGAACUCUAGGUCUAGGGUAUAAAGUUGGAGGUUUCUCGAUGACUUGUGUUGCAUAGCAUGGUUGUAUUAGAGCAAGAUAUGAGACUGGAGGCUUUUCUUUGCCCAGUACUGCAUAAUGCGGUUGUACUAGUGUGGGAGAUGGGUAAGUUUGAUCAUACAAUUGAGGAGGUGCUUGUGACCUAUAUUGGCGAGGUGAAUAAGAAGGGUAAGUCCCAACAGGCUGUGAAACUGGCUGAUGAUGCCUGAGAAGUCUUUGACUAGUAGAAGUAAUAGUGCCCACAUAUGACCUUUGUCUUCCAAUUGGUUUCUUCCCUUUAGCAUCAAUAGAGGAAGAAUAGGAUCAUAACCCUCUCGAAAUGCAAUCCUCCACGUCAUACAACGCUAAAACCAGAGAUCCAAAGUUUAUAAAAGGUACUCCAACCACAUGUCUAACAAUCCUAGGCUGUAGACUCCUCAAAAUCAUCUAUAUUUGAUCUUUCUCUAAUAGUGUAUCAACAAUCUCUGCCAUCUUCCCCUGUCAAUGGGAGAUGAAGGAAGAAAUAGACUUAUCUGAUCUCUGUCUCAAAGUCUUUAGCCCUCUCAUUGACAUAUCUACAACAAUGCUAAAUGAAAACUAUCGGAAAAACUCCUAAGCUAGGUAAUCUCAUGUUCUGCGUUGUGAGGACUCCAAAUAUGAGAACCAACGAUGGGUUGCACCACUCAGUGAUAAAAGGAACAUGGUGAUUGCGACUCGUCUAACCCAUGGGCCUUCAUUACAGUAUUGUAGAGUUGAAGAUGAAUAUGGGGAUAACCAACGCCCUUGUACCUCUCGAUGUCAGGCAUCCUAAACUUGGUCGGUAGAAUGACCACUGGUAUACUAUCAAGAUCAUCCCAAAUAACUAAAUUGUCAGAUACUCUCAACUAUUUGAUACACUGCUGGAUACGAUCUAUGCAUGCUUGAGUAUCCUCAGGGAAUGUGUUAUGUAUUGUUAUAGGUGGGAUGACCUCAAAUUGACCGUGUAAUAAAUAAGGUAGGGCCUAUGGCAUUGUCUAGCUAGGUGGUGGUGCUAGCGGCGGCAGUGAAUCAUGAGGCACCUCGUCAUGAGCUAUAGGUUGUCUACUCUACUAACUACCCAUCUCCUGUCUAAGAUUGGUCAAGGCCUCUUGAAUGGAAGCCAUGACGGCCAUGAACUGGUUAAUUGUAAUGGAUUACUGAUCCAUGUCUGAUCUCACGGAAGUGCGAACCCUUUACUUUGACCCAAGAUGGUAAAUCCAGAUUGAGAAUGAAGAGCCAAUCCUACAAAGCAUGAAACAUAGGAUAAGGUAUGUGAUUACUACCAAAAAGUGCUAUUUUGUAGACCUAAUUAUAAUGGUUUUAAGCACCUUUGAGUAGUAAUCAUAUUCAUUUAACCCAAUUAAUUCAUUAAGGUCCUUAGUAAUUGGUUUUAGCCAUUUUGUGGCAAGUUUACAUGUUUUUCAUCAGCUUAUGAACCAAUUCAAGCAUGCCAAUUGAUGGAGGAGCUACUUGGGCGAGUUAAGCAAGGAUUUUGGACAUUUACAGGCUUGAAUUUCAAGUGGAAACACGAGCACAAGCCAUGGGAACACCAUUUUGCAAGGAAAGAACAAUGGAGAAGAGGAAAACAGAGGACAGCAGCUGCAGUCUUCUUUCGCACUUUUAGAGCACUUCCCGAAGUCCAUUUUCUACAUGCUAUAUACCAUUUCAAAGCUCAAGAAGUCAAGAAUCCAACGCUUCAAACCGUGUACGAUUUGGAGCCAAAAUGAGGAAGAUAUGGCCUUCGGAAGACAACUGCAUCAAGCCAUGGGAACACCAUUUCGCAAGGAGAUUUUCUUCAUGGUGCGAAAUUUGGCCAUUUCGCACCAUGAAGAACCACCUUGCGAAAUUUCGCAAGGUGGCUUUUCACCUUGAGAAAUUUGGACCCUUCAUCUUUCCAUUCCACUGCCGGUUCUCCAAGAUAUUUUGCUUGAUUUUUAGCUUUGUAAAUACCUAUUUUACCCUUGUAAUCAACCAAUGAAUAGGUUGCUUUUGUAAUAGCUCUUGUAAUUUAGCUUGUUAUUGUCUUUAAAUAGAGGUGAAGAGCCUCAGACAAAUAAUCUUGUAACCUGUAACUUUAUAAGUUAUAAGAUCACUUUUGUUCAUACGCUUCUUUUCUCUUUUCUUUCUCAUUUUCUUAGUAGCCAAACAUCCUUGGAGGAUGAAAUCCCCAAGGAUGAGAGGCUAAAACCUUUUAGUUUCUUGAAGUAAUGGAUUCCAUGUGAAGCUCCCGUGUCAGGAUGGAGAUUUCCAAGCCAUAAAUGUAAGUAGCUGAGCGUCAUAAAUGUUUUCAUUCAAAGUAAAGAUUUUAAUCCCUCUGACUUGCUUUGAAUGGCCAAUACUUGAUAACCUUUUGGUCUCACUGGAUUCUUAUUGUUAGAUCCACUGACGUUCAUUAGUUAUCUCCUACGAGCCAUUGUAUUGCAAGUCGAGGAGAUGACCUAUAUCAAUAAAAGAGCAUUUAUGAGGUUCAGCUACCCUUUUUGUAAGUUUUCAAGAACUAAAACUCAGUUGUUAAACUCAUACCGGUUCGGGAAGUAAGCAUCACCUUAGUUGCUUCCCCAACUCGAGGUGAAAAGUCCCAAAAUCUCCAUUUUUACACAGUGAGUUAAGCAUGGCUAUCCAAAGCUUUGAGAAACUUCUUUUUCCAUCUUUUAACCUAUUUUCAUGUUAGUUUAGUUUAGUUUACAACACCUUCAUCUUUUUAUGUUUUCAUCUUAACCUAAUUUUUAUUAAGAAAAGUUCACUCCAUCCUCCGAACAUCACCAGUUAAAGUAAAAACCCUUCCCAGUGUUCGAUCCUAGAGCCACUAUGCUAUAGUAGCUUUGCUACUUUAGUGUAAAGACCUUAGGUAUAAAUUUUGUUGAUACCCUUACAUGCCAAGCUACCAAGAGUCGGGUUAUCAAAUGGCGCCGUUGCCGGGGAAUUGUAAUGGAUUACUGAUCCAUGUUUGAUCUCACGGAAGUGCAAACCCUUUACUUUGACCCAAGAUGGUAAAUCCAGAUUGAGAAUGAAGAGCCAAUCCUACAAAGCAUGAAACAUAGGAUAAGGUAUGGCACGGGGAAAACACAGAAGAAAUGCUAAUAUGAAUUGGAAGAAACAAGUCAACACAAAGCAGAAUGGUGACCCAAAUAUAACCCAAACUCGUACUGAUCUCUAAGCACUCUCAAUUAGAGACCAAAGAUGGAGUAUUGGAUCCAAACUGUGACUAAAGCGGCCCCAAAGGCUCUCAAAUACACCCACGUGUAGGAAAAAAAUCCUAAUCAAAAGAUUUAAGGCUCAACAUACGAGGUCAAGGGAACUAUAAAAAGAAAAAAAUGUGGAUUUUAAAGGAUCCUUAGCAGAAACAAUUGUACCAUCCCGCCAUACGCAACCUCCUGCACGCCUCUGAAGAGACGAGAGUGUUUCCAUGCAAGGUGGUCAUCACCUCCACACAUGCACUAUCUCGCAUCCUAAAGGGUUUCCUAAUGGUGAAUGCUCUCACAUCUCUCAACACGCAGUGGUAAUCUAAAGUGCAUAGUGAACGGUGUGGGUGCAUCUGAAAAUCCUAUCAAAUUAAGCGGAAAGAAAACACACUAAUCACAUAAAUAUCUUAAAAUCUAGCUUUGGGCUAUACAAGUCUUCAAAUAUUGGACUCCGAUCAGCAUCAAUGUUUUGGCCUCCUCCAGAAUGCUCCCAAACAUAAAUAUAGUCCAUCACUAAACCCUACUCUGAAUCACUAGCUCAGUCGAAGAGCAAACAAAGUAACAAGUCUUGUAUCAAAUACGAGAUUGAAGGAAACAAGGUCGACCGAGAUAAGGGAGUUGGAGGUAAGAUGAUAGAUGUGUGUCCCACAUAGACAAGUAAUGCAAGCAUCACAUAGAAGAAGAGCAAUCAUGCAAAUAACAUGUAUAUCACUCAUAUCACAAGCUGAGCAUAAAUAUGAUAAGUAAGAUAGGUAUAUAAUAAAAUAGACAAUAAGUUGAGACAAACAAGAUGUUAUACAACAAAGAGAAUCAAUCAUGGCAAGAUGAAUGAGAAUAUACAUGUCAAGGAAAGUAAGAUAAUCAUACAACAAGAAGAGUCACUAUGUAAAAGUAGGUAAGGGAAUCAAUCAAUAUAAUUAACAUGUGAACAUCUCCAAUGAACAAUAUUAACCAAACAUGCACCAUAGAUAAACAUAUCAAAGCUCUCAACGUGUAAUCAAUACCCAAUCAUACCAGGACACAUAGAGAGAGGUAUCCACUGAUCAACCAAUCAAACGCCACAUUUUCCUCAACUCGAGUUCAAGUUUGACCUUCUAAAUAUCCCUAGCAAAGUUGCCAUUUUGUGGUCCCACAUUUUUCACUUGCGUUCUCACUCGAACGACGAGAUUCAAUUUUUAUUGAUUUGUGAAAAAAAAAAUUGAUUUUUAGAAAAAGACUUAGAGUCUUAUUUUAGUUUUUAUUUAUUUAUUUAAGAAAAACAAAAUAAGAAAGAAAAUCAUGUGCGACUCCUUAUUUAGAAAAGACAUGUUUGCAAAAAUCGAGUCUAGAUUCGGGGGUUAAGUUACUUAUUAGAAAGGUAUGGUGGUGAGUCGUAGUAUUCCUCUAAGCCCGUAUACAUACGGUCUCUACUAAACGAAUUGGAGGAAUUGUGACAAUUAACUAAUUAAUCAUGAAUAUCGAGAAAAUGAAUCAUACAAAUAAAUAAAUACAAGUCAUGGUAAAAAUCAGAUUAUAAGAAUGUACAAAAUAAAUAGAAAGAGAAAUACAUGAAUCAAUUUAUUAAGUUAAUUAAAAAAAUUGUUUUAUUAAUCCAAAUGUCAUGACACAAUUUCAAAAAAAAUUGAAAGAAUUUAUUUGCAUUAAAAAAACAAUUUUGAGUUGAUGAUUUCAAUUUAUUAAAAAAAAUCAAUUUAUUUUCAAAAAACAAUUAUUUGAUUCAACUUUAUUUGUUUUCAAUUUUGGAAAAAGUUAUUUACACUUAUUUUAUUAAAAAAAUUUAUUGAAAGCAAUUUUAUUUAUAAGAAAAUGGUUUUAUUUACCUUUGUUAGAAACAAAAAGAAUAAAUUUUUAUAAGUUUAUUUAUGUUUCACUUUAACUUUUAUUUGAAUGUAAGUGUGGACCCCGCAUUUCUGCACAUGCGCUUUUACUCGAUGGAGAACUCGUUUUUUAUUUGAAAAAGAUUUUUUUUGUAGAAAAUGACUUGGAAUCGCCACUUAUUUUUGUUUUAUUUUUAAAGGGAAAACAAAAUAAGAAAGAAAACCCUAAGUGUGACUCCUUAUUUGAAAAAGAUGGUAUAUGAAAAAUCAAAUCUGGGUUCGGGGGUCAAGUUACUCAUUGGGAAGGUACGACAAUGACCGUAGCACCCCUCUAAGCCCCUAAAAAUGGGUUUCUACUAAUUAAGUUAAAGCAAGUGUGACAAUUAAUUGAUCAAACAUGGAUACCAAAAUAAUAUCAAUCCAAAAAUAAUCGAAUGAACAAGAAAGACAGAUAGUGUACUUGAGUGAUGAAUUGAUUGCUUCAUGGAAAGUAAAGGCUAGUGAAUGAACACAGAAUAAUCGCAUACAUAUUAUAGAGUGAGGCAAGUCAAUCAAGCAUGGUAAUCAAUCAAUCAAUGAGAAAAUCACACAUAUUGGGCCCCACCAAAACCCGAUUUAUUUUUGCAUGAAUUAAUCCCAUAAAUUCCAUUAUUUGGAAUUAUGAAAUUUAUUUGCGCUUAUUUUAAAACAUUUAAAAAUCAAGGAAGAUGUGAAAAAUACUUGUCGAAGAGAAGAUGGCAACAAAUUUUAUUAAAAUGAGGUUUUUGCUAACCUAAAACUCUAAUGAAGAAUGAAAAGUUGAGUUAAAUUAUUUGGAAACUGAAUUUUCAAAAAUCAAUUAUCAAGGUAAGGAAAAGAAGCACAUGAGCUUUGAAAAUGGGCCUAUGAAGGUGGCCAUGCAUGGCCCUAUAGGAAUGGGCCCGGAGUGUCACUAGUACUGCAUUGUAAGGUUGGUGAUUGCAGUUGCCAUCUUCUCCAAACCUGAAAAGGGUCACUAUUGAGCAUCCAGAACGAGUUAUCAUGAUCUCUUCAACUGGCUUAUAAUAUUCCAAGAAUGAAUUGAUUGUGGUUUCCCAAUAAACAACAUCUCCACCAUUGGAUUGGAUGCGGGUAAGAUGGGAACCCUCCACGUGAACAAAAAUACCUGUUUUUUAGCCGAAAUAGUUAAACAAAACAUGUCUUAUGAUCUCCUCUAGGCCUUCACUCCUGGCAUUCAAUGUCUGAGGGUCAGCACAUAGCUUGAUGAUAAAGCAAUCCUCACCAUCGAUAUUCUUUUCUUCAAUGCAUCUUGCAUCAGCAAACAUACUAGCAGUGGUUCUUGGAUCAAGGCCCUGAAGAGCUCGAUGCAAUGGCCUAACAGGGCCCUUUGUAGAAUGCACUCCCAGUUAGGGCGUGUGCCUUCAGACAAGCUUGCCAUUGCAACCAGCAUGAACCUUGCUACCCCCAAUUUCAAGUUCAACAUACCACAUGUUCGGAUUCAUCUGCUAGAGCACAAACCCACUUGAAUCUAUAUCUUUUGAGGCAUUCCGAUUUUUGAAAACCCUAGUUGCACUCUCAAACUCAAAAGUUAUCAUCAUCACCUUUCCCAUGGCAUAAGGGGUUAGUGGUGCUAACGUGCACUAGGACGAGAUCAUCACUUUGCCAUCAUCACCUUCAUGAAUUCCUCAUAGUUUAUCUACCCAUCACCAUCCACAUCAGUCUCCCGAAUCAUCUCAUCAACUUCUUCAUCAGUCAGUUUCUUACCCAAGUUUGUCAUUACAUGACACAACUCAACAGCAAACUAUUUUUCUUCGCCAUUGUAGGUGGCCAUGCAAACUACCACAACUUGAUAUCACUCUAAACAGAGGAAUCGGUGAAUCUCCUACCAAUUAGAUGCUUUGCAUUGAAAACAGUGUUAAUAGGGUUCGUAGCAACCUGAUUCUCAGCGGCAUCACCGAUCAAACACUUUGUAUAAGUGAAAGUGAUGUAAGAGGGAGUAGUCUCGUUGCCUUGAUUGUUGGCGAUGAUCUCGACACGGUCGUGUUGCCAUACUUUGGUGCAAGAGUAGGUAGUUCCAAGAUUAAUUUGGAUGGUUGGGAGAAGGGUAUCAGAAGUAUAUUUUUCCAAGGUGUUGAGUUUUUGGUAAGUCACGUGUGUUGAUGCCUCGCGUCUUUGAUGAUCCACGUAGUUGCCAGAUGGGUAGACGCGUGAUUUCAACUUAUACAGGUUCUUGAUCCAGUCGUUAUACCUGCAAGAAGGCAUCCGGACAGGGUGUCCGGACGCACCCUCCGAUGGUUUUGUUAGCCAUGGUCAGAGAGAGGAAUAUAAAUCAGUUGGCCUUUUACCAGAUAUUAGAAGGUUACCAAGGGAUCCCUUUCUUCUUCGUGCGAAGGCAUAUAUAUACAGCUUCAGGGGUACUGUUCCUCUCAUUAAUGGCGAGGAGAUAUUUUAUGUUUGUCAUGAUGACAUUCGGAGGCAGCAUGGUCAUCGCCACCUUACUGGUGGCUGUCAGAAACCGUGGUAGGUGAUGCUGCUGUCUAGAUAUCGUGGGAAGUGAUCAUGUAGAAUGAUCGUGGGAAGUGACUUGUUGUCACCUCGACCCGUCCUUUCACUCUGUAGAUGAUGGGACGUGGGCCAUGGCUGGUUGUCGUGAUAGCGUGUAAGACUCGCUUUACUUUAAUUGAUGAUCCGGACGAUUAUGUCCGGGUGGCACAUGCUAAUUGCCCGGAUGUAUUGUGGAGCGGAAGCAUUAUGAAGGUUGUCCGGAUGUCUGUGUUUUGCCAGCGACGUUUGCUCUUCCUUGGAUAGGAGAAGUUGAAACGUCAUUUGCCUUUCCUUGAGGCGGUCCGGAUAGGAGAACCAUCGUCAUGCGUAUCCUUAGGGGAAUCCGGAUGAUGAUGGUCCGGCUGAUAACACGUGCCACGUGUCAUUGUGAGGUGCGUGCCACAUGUUUCCCAGAGGGAGGGGUCCCUACAUUGCCCCUCUUUUUAACUUGCCUAUUUUGCCAAAAAAUGGGCGGGUUAAAAAAUAACUGGCUUUUUUGAAAAACUGAAGAGGUCUCUUUGUCUGACUGGGCCACGUGGCGAGUGGGGGUGCGGAAGCCAAAAAAGGUCUUUAUGACGAGCCGCCGACUCUGGGUAUUCCCAGGCAGCAUGUCGUUUCAAUGAUAGCUUGUUUGGACAUUUGGCUUUCCGAGGGCCUAUCCCCCUAUAAAUAGCGCACUGUUGCUUCUUUUUGCAUUUUUUCCUACUGCAUUCUCUUGAGAGCCUUUCUUCUUCCUUCUGUGCUUCCCUUUGCUUUUUUGAGUGAAAAACCCUAGAGUUUUUCCUGCCGGUGUUUUCGUAUUGCGACAUUUGUUUGCUGCUGGUGAUUUUGUAUCGAGACAGCAACCUUUCUUUUUCAGAGCUUCAUUUGGUACGUGUGCUAUUGCUGUUCCUUUUGUUGCGUUUGUUGGCUCUUUGGUCUUGGUUUCUGGUUAGUUUGGGCUAGGGUUUGUGUAUUUUCUGGGUUACUUGUGUUUUACCCAUUGCGCUUCUUUGUAUGUAGAUUUUGUCUUUGUGGUAAGAGAUGGCUGCGAAAAAGAAUGUUUCAUCUUCCCGGGCUAGCGAGGUUUGUGGAAAAGCGAUAGAUAAGCUGGACGCGAAGGAAUUCUGAGAGCGGUUCUGUAUCCCGAAUGGCGUGGCUAUCGAAUUGCUGAAUGGGAGGGUGCUUGUGCCCUCUGAGAAAGCAGAAGAAAAAGCCAUCAUUUUCUCGAAGGAACAAUUCAACGCGGGACUCCAGUUCCCUCUGCCGGCGUUGUUCAAGGAGUUCCUCCAUUUCACCCAAAUUCCACCCGUCUUCAUUCAUCCCAACAUCGUCCGGGUGCUGAUGGGAUGCAGCAUCAUAAAUAUGCUGUACAACCUCGACCUCACGCUGUUGGAUUUGUUUUUUGUGUAUUCUUUGAAGAAGGUAAAAAAUGACAUCUUCAGCAUGUCCGCACACCUACCCUCCCUCCAACUGGUGACGAAGCUGCCAGAUUCGACAAAGGGAGGGGCGACGGGACACGUGGUGGUCCAGGGUGCAUGGGCGGGGCUUUUGGAGCAUCCGACGAGGCCUUUCCCUCCAAACUACUCCUUGGCGGUUCCGGGUAGGUUUACUUUGCAACUAUUGUCCGGCUCUUACUUUGUUGAUUUUUUUUUUUUUUUUUUUUUACUUUUCCGGAUGGUGUUCUCAUCUUUUGUUGCUCUUAUUGUAGGUCCGGAAUUGAGGGGCCACCUUGUGGACUGGGUGGAAAAGGCGUCUUUUGACCAUCUCAGCAAGCUUUUUGAGAUAAACGCCAAGGAGAGGCAGUAUAAGACGCUGCUAACUGCGCGGAAUCUGACGGCGGUCGUCUGGGAGCCCCAAGAGUACGUCAUCAACAUUCUCCCCAGGAAGAUGCCAAAGGAGGUAGUGCCUGGGGAGCAUUAUAUUGUGAAGGAUCUCCCGAUUUACGAGGCGUUAAAAGAGGCUGACGCUGAAAAACGCCGACUUCUCCUGGAGGAUCGGGAGAAGAAGAAGAACGAAGGGACCCUUCGGAAGGCUCCCGGACAGAAACGCGACGCAGACUCUCCUCUAAAGAAAACUCCAGCGAAAAGGAGGAAGCUGGUGAAGAAGCAUGGGAAGGACGUGAAGGAGCCCACUCCUCCCAAGAAAUUUGCUCAUCCGCCCAUUAUUCACGAGGCGGAGGUAAUGAUAGAGGAGCCAGUGAACCCUGCCCCUCAUUCCAUCUCCAGCGGAUCCGGACAUCUUGCGGGGCUGAACCACUCAAGCACCUCCUUGGCAGCGGUUGCGCGUCUAGCGAAUUUGGCUGAGGAAGCUGCGUCUGUCAACCAUCCGGACUCCCGUAAUCCGGAUGCCGAUGCAGCUGAGGCCGUUUGUGCGACCCCCAUGGAGGAAGUGGGAGAAGAAAGCCAGAGUCAGCCCCCUGAUGAUCCGGGCCGGCUGGCUCUUGUUCUGGUGACGGGGCCACCUUCAAAGAAGCCUCGCUCGGUGCGCAAUCUGAGGUCCGGACUCCACGGGCGGCUUCAAGAGCGGCAGCAAGAGAUUGAAGUCAGUUGCUCAUCCGCCCACGACGCUCAUCCGGAGGGGGGCGAAGUGGAGAUGAUAACUGAGACUCCAGCCGUCCCGGUGGUGGUCCCGGCUGAGGUUGCAUCCGGGGAGGCCCAUCCGGCCGUAAAUGUUGAGGCCCCUCACCCGGAACGAAAAUCGCCUUCUGCUGCUUCAUCCAAGGGCGGACCUGUUAAUGAUGCUUCUUGCUCCUCCGAUAAUUCUUUUAGUUAUGCGGAGUUGGAAGAUAAGCUGAAAGAAAUUCCACCCGGCUCGCCUGAUAUCAUGCCCUCAGCCCAGAUGUUCGAAAAUGUGGAAAUGGUAAAACUGUUUUUCGUGCUUUUUGAUUGUUUUGCCAUUUUGUUGUGUUGUUGUGGUAUGAUUUAUAACUUUGCAUUGCUUGUUUGUGUGUCAGCUGGUGAGUGGUCUCCGUGGCAUGGCCCGACACCACGAUCUCUUUUCUGAUCUGCUGCGGACCACUGAUUAUAUGAGGAUCUUUGUCUCUCGGCAUAAAGAAAGCGAAAACCAGCUGCGCCUGAAACUGGAAGAGGCUGAAGCUGGCUUAUCCACCAUACGAAAAGAAAAUGCAGCCCUCCGGGUGGAUUUGGCUGAGCAAAGAGUCGGGAGGAAUCAGCGGUCGACCGCCUGCAUGAGGCAGCAGAUGAGAUAGCCUAGCUGAAGGGGGAGGUGAGGCAACUCCGGACAGAAGUUUCAAUAAAAAAGAAACAGAGGGAAGAUUUGAAGCUGCGCUUGGUUGCACAAAAAGAGGAGCUAGAACGGGAGUUUGCUGCAGAGAGGGAGGAACUUGAAGCCGAAUAUCAAAAACAAGUGGAUGAUACGUUCAUCUUUGGGUAUCGGUGCUGCAUGAAGAAGAACGGUAUCAAGCAGGACAUGCCUUCGAUUCCUCCGGGUGAAGAAAAGAAACUUCAUGACAAGCCUGCUCCCUGAUAUCUUCUCUUUUUGCAAUUUCUUCUGUAAUCUUCCUUUUGUAUUUUUGUGGUCCAGAGACCUCAUUGUACAUACUUUUAGCUAUAUUAAUAAAAAUACUUCUUUUCUCGUUUGAACUUGUCUUUGCUUUUUUAUUGAUAAUACUGCUUUAAAUUAGACACAUUCCAUGGUCUAAGUAAUGGAGUUCCGUCUAGCUUUUGCAAAUGAUAGGCUCCAUUGUUACUUGCCUUAGACACUAUAUAGGGUCCUUCCCAGUUGGCUUGGAAUUUCCCUGCACCCACUUCAGUAGUAUUUUCAAAAACUUUUCUAAGGACUAGCGUACCAUUUUUGAAGGCUCUUGGCCUCACUUUGCGAUUGUAGUGUGCUGAUGCCCUUUGUUGAUAAUCUGCCAUCCGGAUGGCCGCACUUUCCCUUACUUCAUCCGUCCAAUCCAAAUUUCUUCCUAAUUCCAUGUUUGCAUCACUUUGUUUUGCUGCAUCAGUCCAGAUAGUAGGGAGACCUAUUUCGGUAGGAAUGACUGCAUCCAUUCCAUAUGCGAGAGCGAAUGGAGUAUUUCCUGUUGGCCGUCCGGGUGUAGUUCGGUAGGCCCAUAGGACGCCGGGCAGUUCCUCGACCCAUUUUCCUUUGGCUUGUUCAAGCCUUUUCUUUAAGGCAAUGAUUAGGGUCUUGUUUGUGGCUUCUGCUUGCCCAUUGCUUUGAGGAUAUCGUGGUGUGGAGUAUGAGUUCCGGAUGUUUAGCUCCGAACAAAAAUUCCUGAAUGCAAUGCUAUCAAAUUGUGGACCAUUGUCGGCUAUGAUGGUUUGGGGAAUUCCAAAGCGGCAGAUAAUAUUUUUCCAUACGAACUUGGUGACAUCCUUGUCUUUGAUGCUAGCAUAUGCUUCAGCUUCCACCCACUUACUGAAAUAAUCUAUGGCAACAAGCAAAAACUUCUUUUGGGCGGGUGCAGUUGGGAGAGGUCCCACUAUGUCCAUGCCCCAUUGUGCGAAGGGUCAUGGGUCUGAGAUUGAUUUUAACGUUGCUGAUGGCAUAUGUGGAAUGAGGGAAUACCUUUGACAUUUAUCACAUCUUUUGACAUAUGCUGCCGCGUCUUUCUUCAUUAUUGACCAAUAGUAUCCUUGCGAAUAGGCUCUAUGUGCCAGAUAUCGUCCUCCCGAAUGAUUUCCGCAUAUUCCCUCGUGUAACUCAGCUAACACAUAUUGGGCCUCUGACUGCCCUAGGCAUCGAAGGUAAGGUCCUGUAAAGGAUCGCUUGUACAGGUGCCCCCCAAUCAGGGUGAAACGGGCAGCUUGCACUCGGACUUUGUGUGCCUGCUUGAGAUCUCCGGGUAGAGUUCCGGUCCGGAUAUAUUCUGUGAUGUCAUACAUCCAUUCUUGGCCGUCCGCUUGGGGUGCCUCAAUGGUAUUGCAGGUUGAAAUUUCUGAGACAGAGGGGUCGGUUUGCACAUGUAUGGGCAGUAGAAUGGCUUCUUUGAUAGGGAGGGAGGCAGCUAUGCCGGCCAAAGCGUCAGCGCGCCUAUUGUCAGCUCGCUUGAUUUUUUCGAUUGUCCAUUCGGUGAAUUGCUGCAAGGUGUUUCUUAUUUUAGCUAAGUAUCGCGCCAUGCGUGCGUCCUUAGCCUCAUAUUCUUCCUGGACAUGUUUUACAACGAGUUGUGAGUCGUUGAAGAUCCGGAGUUUGGAGACGGAUAGAGCAAGGGCGAGGUCCAAUCCGGACAAGAUAGCCUCAUAUUCUGCUUCAUUGUUAGAGGCAGAGAAUCCCAGCCGGAUGGCUUGCUCCAAAUGUUCCCCAGUUGGGGAUUGUAGUAGGAGCCCAACUCCAGAGCCUGAUGAGCGUGAGGCUCCGUCAACUCGCAGAGUCCACCAUUCUUUUUUAACUGAUUCGUCAUGUUGGCUGGGUCUUUGGGAAUAUUCUAGCACGAAGUCAGCCAUUACUUGGCCUUUCAUGGCCAAUCUGGGUUGGAAUUCGAUUCCAAAUUCACUUAAUUCAAUGGCCCAUUGCAGCAUUCUCCCGGUUAAAUCUGGUUUGUGCAGAAUGUUGCGAAGGAGUUGGUCGGUUAACACGAUCACCGGGUGGGCUUGGAAAUAGGGCCGGAGCCUUUGGGCAGUGCUCCGAAGGGCUAAGGCUGUUAGCUCCAUUUUUAAAUAUCUGGUUUCUACGUCUGCCAAUGCCCUGCUGACAUAAUAGAUAGGUUUCUGCUCCUUGGGUGAGGGGCAGCGGAAUAGAACGGCGCUGAUUGCCCAUUCUGAUACCACCAGAUACAUGUACAAUUUCUCUUUUGGGAUGGGGCUGCUCAAGAUGGGUGGUUGCAUGAGACAAUGCUUAAUUUUUUCCAAAGUGUUUUGGCAACUGUCCGUCCAUCCGUGCGCUCCAGCUUUUCGUAUUGCCACGAAGAAGGGUCACAACUCAUCAGUGAAGCGGGCUAUGAAACGUCCUAACGCGACGAGCUUGCCUGUGAGGCGUUGUAACUCCUUCUUGUUCCUGGGAGGAGGUGUUUCCAUGACUGCCUUGACUGGAUCCGGGCUGACUUCUAUGCCCCUUUGGCUGACCAUAAAUCCUAGAAAUUUGCCGGCACUCACUCCAAAGGCGCAUUUGGAAGGAUUUAGCUUCAUGCCAUACUUUCGUAAGAGGUGAAAAACUUCUUGCAAAUGAAGGAUAUGCUGCUCUCGAGUUUCGCUUUUGACUACGAUAUCGUCAAUAUAUACCUCUACCGAGUGGCCUAUUAGAGGUUUGAAGAUUUUAGUCAUCAAUCUUUGGUAAGUGGCGCCAGCAUUUUUGAGUCCGAAUGGCAUGACUUUAUAGCAAUAGAGGUCGUGUGGCGUUAUGAAUGCUGUUUUUUCUUCAUCAUCCGGGGACAUGGGGAUUUGAUGAUAUCCGGAGAAGGCAUCCAAGAAAGAGAGCAUCCCUUGCCCGGAAGUGGAGUCCACAAUCUGAUCUAUUCGUGGCAAGAGAAAACUGUCUUUUGGACAGACAUUGUUGAGAUUGGUGUAAUCUAUACAAACUCGCUAUUUUCCUUCUUUUUUAGGUACCACAACUACGUUUGCCAACCAAUCCGGAUAAGAAACUUCUCUGAUAAAUCCGGCUUCGAGCAAUUUGUCAAUCUCAUUCCGGAUGACUCUCUGUCUCUCCGGGUGAAAGCGCCUAAUUCUCUGCCGGAUGGGUCUGGCAGUUGAAAAGACGUUAAGCCUGUGAGAUGCAAUGGAGGGAUGGAUUCCCUUCAUGUCGGAAUGUGCCCAUGCGAAGAUGUCAUGGUUCUGUCUGAGAAGAUUUCGCAUGCCCUGAGUUUCUUCUUGUGUCAUGAGGGAACUGAUAUUCGUGAGGUGAUCGUUUUCCUACGAAAUUUGGAUUAUUUGUAAGGGAUCUGCUGCCGGGGGAUCUUUGUCCGCCGGACCCAAUAAUUGCUAUUGGUCGUGUGCAAUGCUGGGUUCAGGGGGAGAUGCAUCCUCCUGGUUAGCCCCUGCUUGUCGUGCUAUUUGAUAGCAUUGGCGAGCGGCUAAUUGGCUGCCAUAUAGGUCGAUUUGGCCAUCGUUGGUGAGAAAACUCACCAUUUGAUGAUAUUUAGAGGGGAUAGCUUUCAUGUAGUGGAGCCAUGUACGCCCUAAAAUGACAUUGAAGGGUGACAACUCCUAUACUACUGAAAAUUGUACGUUGAGCGUGACUGGGCCAGCUUGGACCGGUAGUAUGAUAUCUCCCAAGGAUGUGGUUGAUGAUCCGUUAAACCCGGAUAAGAUUCGUCCGGGGUUUUCAAGGCCCGCGAGACUAUGUCCCAUGCGGUCAACGACUGAUGCUUGCACCAGGUCGGCCGAACUGCUUGGGUCAACCAAGAUACGCCGCACAUCGAAGUCCCCAAUUUCCAGGGACAAGAUGAGGGCGUCGCGAUGUGGUUGUAGCGUCCGGGCGGGAUCUACUGGUGGGAAAAUUAUUGUUCCAUCUAUGGGGCGAGGGCCCUCUCCAGUCAGACCCGGCCGGAUGGAAUUAAUGCGUUCGCGUAUUGAUGCAGCCCGCAACAAUUUCUGUCUUUUCCGCCUGGAGUCAUACUCCUCGUCAGAUGGUCCUCCGUUAAUAUAGCUGAUGACGGCCUUGGGGGCAACUGAGACCCUAGGGGCUCCAGGGUUGUUGUGCUGGGAAACAUCCCUAUUCCCAGUAUCCGUGCGGAGGUAUUGCUUCAAAUGUCCUGCUUUUAUGAGCCUCUCGACCAGAAACUGAAAAGCUCGGCAUGUUUCUGUUGUAUGGCCAUGAUCCUUAUGGAAGGCACAUCUCCUACUACGAUCCCUUGUGGAUGGGUCCGUUCCAAUGGGUCUAGGCCAUCUGAAGUCGGACAAGCCUUGGAUAAUUGGGAAAAGUUUCUCAUAUGAUAUGGAAAGAGGUGUGAGAGGCGGCAUUUCCGGGCGACUUGGCCUUUCCUGCUUUCGGUCAGACGGCUUUGGCCGAUCCGGAGGUUUAUUGCUUCCCUCCAUACUACUUCUAGCUGGCCGUCCGGCAACCAAAACUUGCUGAGUGGCCGCACGCACGUCAUCUUCGAGCAUUGAAUAUUUGUUCGCACGUCUGAACAAAUCGUCCAUAGUUGUAGGAGGCUUUUUGGGCAGUGAUUCGAAAAAUGGAGUGCCUGGACAGAUGCUUCGUUUGAAGAUCUGUAGGACCGCGUCCAUGCUGCAAGCCUCUAUUUGAAGUACGGCCUGGCCAAAUCGUUUCACAAAUUCCCUCAGGGAUUCGUUAUCUCGCAUUUUUAUGUUCUGGAGGAUGCUGAUAUUCUGUUUGUGUCGAGCAGAGCACAAGUAUUGUCCCACGAAGGCUUCAGACAGGUCCCUGAAAUUGUCAACAGAGUUGGGAGGUAGGCGAUGAAACCAUGAAAGGGUCUGCCCUUGUAGGCUGGCGGGAAAUACUUUGCAUAGUAAUGCAUCGUUGCCAAUAUCGAGCGUCAUAAGCUGUCGAUAGUGCAUGAUGUGAUCGAAGGGAUCGUUGGUUCCAUCGUAUGUGGAAAAUUUUGGUACGAGGAAUCCCCUUGGGGGCUCGUAAUGAAUGAUAUGAGAGCAGAAGGGCGUGGAGAGCAUGUCAUCCAGCCUUUUGCUGAUGGAGCCGAUGGGUGGCUCGUUUGGAAGGUUUCUUCCAGCUGGUCGUUCUGCUGGGUGCGAAUGAACGUUCCGCAUGACGGGGGUGACUACGGGGUCACGAUGCGGGUGAACGUUUUGCACCCUGGGGGUGGCCAUGGGGUCAGGGCGUGGUGCCCAAGUUGUGGCCAUUGGUGGCCUUGAACUUCUAGGCUCUUGCGGGCCUAGUCUUGCGCGCAUCGAAUUUGACAACUGAGAUUUUUUAUCACGUUGUCUCUUCGCUGAAAAGUGAGUAGAGUCUGAGCUUUCCUCACGGGGAGCUCGAGGCAUAGGCGUGCGUGGCUCAUGAGGUCUUACGUUGCAUGCUCCUGGGAUGGCUCCUGUUGUCCCAGGAUAUAUUGACUCCGGUUCUUGUUGAGGCCUUGAGUUUGCUACUUGGCCCCUCGAACGCUGACGUUGAGGAGGCCCUGAUGUUGAAGCCUGGAUGCGUAACACCGCGUUUUCUUCUCUCAAUCUUUCUGUCUCCUGGAGGAGAGCUUUCAGCUGUCUUUCGCUUGCCAACUGUCUUCUUUCGAUGGCUAGACGCCAUUCAAAAUUAUCCUCCUUUCCCCUACCAGAUGAACGGCUUUGGGAAGGUGUUGCCAUCUUUUUUGGUGACUGAAUCAAAGUAAAAAUUUCCCACAGACGGCGCCAAUGUUGAUGCCUUGCGUCUUUGAUGAUCCACGUAGUUGCCAGAUGGGUAGACGCGUGAUUUCAACUUAUACAGGUUCUUGAUCCAGUCGUUAUACUUGCAAGAAGGCAUCCGGACAGGGUGUCCGGACGCACCCUCCGAUGGUUUUGUUAGCCAUGGUCAGAGAGAGGAAUAUAAAUCAGUUGGCCUUUUACCAGAUAUUAGGAGGUUACCAGGGGAUCCCUUUCUUCUUCGUGCGAAGGCAUAUAUAUACAGCUUCAGGGGUACUGUUCCUCUCAUUAAUGUCGAGGAGAUAUUUUAUGUUUGUCAUGAUGACAUUCGGAGGCAGCAUGGUCAUCGUCACCCUACUGGUGGCUGUCAGAAACCGUGGUAGGUGAUGGUGCUGUCUAGAUAUCGUGGGAAGUGAUCAUGUAGAAUGAUCGUGGGAAGUGACUUGUUGUCACCUCGACCCGUCCUUUCACUCUGCAGAUGAUGGGACGUGGGCCAUGGCUGGUUGUCGUGAUAGCGUGUAAGACUCGUUUUACUUUAAUUGAUGAUCCGGACGAUUAUGUCCGGGUGGCACAUGCUAAUUGCCCGGAUGUAUUGUGGAGCGGAAGCAUUAUGAAGGUUGUCCGGAUGUCUGUGUUUUGCCAGCGACGUUUGCUCUUCCUUGGAUAGGAGAAGUUGAAACGUCAUUUGCCUUUCCUUGAGGCGGUCCGGAUAGGAGAACCAUCGUCAUGCGUAUCCUUAGGGGAAUCCGGAUGAUAAUGGUCAGGCUGAUAACAUGUGCCACGUGUCACUGUGAGGUGCGUGCCACAUGUUUCCCAGAGGGAGGGGUCCCUACAACGUGGAGGUUGCAUGCACAUGAGAAAUAAUGAAAAUGGACUUGUGGGUGAUGAAAGGUGGGGGUGGCAAGUUGGGUAAGUGUGAAAGAAAUUGAAAGUGGGAAUGUGGUGACGGGUUUGGUGGAUGGGUUUGAUGGAUAUGUGGGAUGGAAAGAUGAAUAUGGUCAUGCGCAUAAAACUCCAUGUAUGUGGGAAAAUAGAAAAUAAACAAAUGGGGAAUGAAUGGAAUAGGUGGUGGAAGGUGGUGAAAGGUAGUGAGUUUAAUAUGUAUUGGAAGACAACAAGAGGUGGUGAGCAUGAAUGGUGAUGGGUAUGGUGGGUAUGAAGGGUAGCAGGUUUUGCAAAGGUUUGGUGGGGCCAUGCAUGGCCAUGCAAAAGUGGGGGAGAUGGUAAGGGAUAACCAUGCUGGAGCGAAGCCUAGAGUGCUACUGUUUUAGAAGGCUCCACAAAAUUUUCUCUGGGACUUGGUGAGAUAUCAACCUCCAUUUUCUCAGAUGUACCUCUACUCUCACUAUCACACUUAAUCUAUAGUAUUAUGCUGUGAAAGCAAGAGAGAAUAAAAAUGGAUCUGAAGCACUCUAAUCCUAUAGAUUGAUCUGUGAAACAGAGACGAGUGGAUUCAGACAUGAGAAUAGUGAACAAAGAGGCUGUCAUAUUCUAAACUUGAAGUAUAUCUCAAGAGUCUUGAAAUUACAUGUUGGAGCCAGCGUAGUUGGAGCAUAAACUUGCACUUAUAUCAAUUCAAAUAUUCUCCCAUCAAUAUCUGCUUGUCACUGUCAAUAAAUAUUUCCAUGAGCUUUCCACGUAGCUGUGAUGAUGCCAAUGACAUCAAAACCACGUAUUUGCGAACCGUUCUAUAGCCUCCUCCAAACAACAUGUCUUUUUCCAGUUGGAGGAUCAAUGCUAUAUAUAUAUAUAUAUAUAUAUAUAUAUAUAUAUAUAUAUAUAUAUAUAUAUAUAUAUAUAUAUAUAUAUAUAAAAAUGACUCACACUAAGAGCCAGCCCAAACAACUUUUUCCUUAGAAAACCCCAGAAACCAAUUUACAAAAUUGCAUGCUAGGUUGACUUAGGAAUGCAACAUAUUGAUUGCUUGGAAAUGAACUACUGGCAUAUGGAUUUUUACUGCAUUGCUGGCCUAUCCACUUGCAUAUGAGAAUAUUGGCUCGAAGUGAAUCUGAUGUUAGAAACAGGAACCCAUACAAAGACUGAUCAGCAUGUUGAAGAGCCAAUCCCAUCAAGCAGAGUGCCUGCCAUAAACCCAGUGUGUCAAGCAUUCUACUCCCAUAAUCCAGAACAAAAGAGCAUCGGUCACAAUGACAGUCACCAGAGAUUUGAGCAGAUCCAGGAGCCGUUCACAUGGGUCCUCCAUUUUCGUCAUCACAGCUUCCAAAAACCCUAGGAAAUUAGCGGUGCAAACCAACUCUGAAGGUAUGACAUUGGGUAUGGAGGAUAAACGGAAGUUGGAGGGCUUAGGGUCGGUGCCGAUGAAGCCCCGCCACUCUUGAGUUAAAACAAAGAUGAUGAGGACAUCAUCUCUCCUUGAAGUUAACAAAUGAUAGAAACCGAACAUGGGUUUGAUGUGGCUUCUUCCUGGGUAAGAGAUUGAGGCAACAUGGCAGGUAGGGAUGGUAGGAUCCGUUUGGACUUCUGAACUCAAAUGAGCGAAACGAGUUGUCGGAUGGGUGGUUAUGGCCUGAUAAUCAGUGAGAGGUGAAAAUCUCAUAGUGAACAGAGUUCGACUCCACUUCAUCUUAACCUUCAUCAUCUGUUCAAGUUAUCAAGCAUUACCACCCAAAUAAACCUUAACGGUCCUCAGUGUCAUUGAGCAGAAAUUCACUUCUUACCAUAUCCAUGACCUAUUUUUAUCAUUCCCACAACUUGACAAGCAUGUUGCAACUCUUCAUACCCACAAAUUGAGAAUACAUCUCCUGCAAUUCCCUACUCUCUCAGGCAGAGAUGAGAAAACUGAUGCACACCAUGGACGAGGUACCAGGAACAAGGAAGAUGGCAAAACAGAGCACAAAAGGUAGGAACAAAAUGAACCCAUACAAGCCUCGUUUCAUGUAUCAAUCAACGAGCUUAGAUGUAGGGGAUGGACCAAAAAAGGAUUUCAAAUGAGUUUCAAAGGGAAACCAAGACGUGACUGCAAAUACCUCAUAUGAAAUCUCAAAAUAGUGCUAAGAAAAUAGGUUAAAAAUGAAACAUAAAAUGCAUGUAAACAAACCCAUAUUCCAUAAAUAAAUAAAAAAUGCAAAAGUCUCCAAUAUUCACAUUCAGGCACCAAAAUGAAACCCCAUUAUACACAAAAGAAAACAUAAUAAAAUGGUAUGAGAAUGAAUGAAUCGACAUCUUAUAGACAUCAUACCUGUGUUGCCCCCUUCAAGGUGACUCCCCUAUGUGUUUCCUCCUCUUAAAACCAGUUCUCUCUUCCUGCAACUCUAUCUUCCUCUCUGGUAAUCUCUCUCAAGCUUCUCUCAUUCUCCCACUAUUUCCCUUCCCAACUGUCUCGUUUUUUAGCUCAAGUUGUCUUGCCCUUCAAGCAACAACCACAUUCAUCCUUAACCGUUUUAGAAUAUUCCCUUGGUAACUUGCCACUCUUUGGUUGUUUCAAGAAAACGUCUCUUCCAGCCCACUCCUUCAUACACAUGCUGUCAAAAUAACAAAAAAUGUGGUAAAAAAAAAAAGUGCUCCCCAAAAUAACCUUUACCUAUAGACCAAAAAUGCUAUUAUGUUGGGAUGGGAAACCCAAAGCACAACUGUCCAUUUUCAAAACCCAACAAUGGGAAAUAUGACAAUCAACUUUUAAUAUGAAAAUUUUUAUCAUUUUUGUGCACUCUGAACCGACUCCAUCUUCUGUGCCCAAAUUGCUCUUUCGUUUCUCCAGCUCAGGAUCCUCAUCAUCAUUCCAACCUCCAUAUCACACUCUCUCAUUUGGAAGCUUUCUCUUAUCUUUCUUCACUCCCAAAAACCCAAAAUCUCUCAUUUCAGUUCAGAAACCCAAAUCUAAAACUCUAAGACAAUGUCAAAAUGCACCUUUCGACUUGUCUAGGAGUCAUGAGAGUCCAAGAGAAUUUGAAAAAAAAAAAAAAAAAACAAAAUGGAGCUCAAGUGGUGAGAGUGGGUACCCAAAAACCGAAACCCUAACCUACAAAUGUGUUCUAGACUUGCAAAUUUGUGUCCAAGAUAGCUCUUUUAGCAAUAAAUAACAUCAAACAUCUCUUCUAGACCAUUAAAUCGGCAAAGCCCUUGAAGAAUCAGAGCAAAUGGUGCAGAAAAUGAAGCAGAUGAGACUCUUAAAGUAUUAGGUCCCAACGAACUGGUCGACCAGUUCUCGACCUGUGACUGCACCUUAGGUAUUACCUUAGUUAAACUUAGGUAUUACCUGUGUGAAGCCUCAAAACUUCAUUUAUGGAUAUUACUUCAUUUGUGACCUUUAGAGCAUGUCAUUUUGUAAUUAAUUAGUGUAAUUAGUUGGUUCAACUUUGGUAUUUUGGUGAUUGUACCUUAUGUACUACCUUAAUAGCUCUAAGGUACUACCUUAAUCGACCUUAGGUACUACCUAUUUGAAGUCUCAGAACUUUAUUUGUAGAUAUUACUUACUUCAUUUGUGACCCUUAGAGCAUGUCAUUCUGUGAUUAAUUAGUGUGGUCAAUGUGUUCAUCUUUGGUAUUUUGGUGACUGUACCUUAGGUACUACCUUAAUAGCCUUAAGGUACUACCUUAAUCUACCUUAAGUUCUACCUUAACCAACCUUAGGUACUACCUAAGUAAAACUUGGGUACUACCUAUCUGAAGUCUCGAAACUUUAUUAGUGGAUAUUACUUACUUCAUUUGUGACCCUUAGAACACAUCAUUAUGUGAUUAAUUAGUGUAGUCAAUUUGUUCAUCUUUGGUAUUUUGGUGAUUGUACCUUAGGUACUACCUUAAUUUCCUUAGGUACUACCUUAACCGACCUUAGGUACUACCUUAGUUAAGCUCAUUCAACUGUCUAGGAGCGGGUUGGUGUCUUUUUCAGUUUUAAACAUAAAACCAAUCGACCGGUUACUCCUUUCUAGUCGAGGUCCGAUCGAGAAUGAAGUAAGGAAUAUNNNNNNNNNNNNNNNNNNNNNNNNNNNNNNNNNNNNNNNNNNNNNNNNNNNNNNNNNNNNNNNNNNNNNNNNNNNNNNNNNNNNNNNNNNNNNNNNNNNNNNNNNNNNNNNNNNNNNNNNNNNNNNNNNNNNNNNNNNNNNNNNNNNNNNNNNNNNNNNNNNNNNNNNNNNNNNNNNNNNNNNNNNNNNNNNNNNNNNNNNNNNNNNNNNNNNNNNNNNNNNNNNNNNNNNNNNNNNNNNNNNNNNNNNNNNNNNNNNNNNNNNNNNNNNNNNNNNNNNNNNNNNNNNNNNNNNNNNNNNNNNNNNNNNNNNNNNNNNNNNNNNNNNNNNNNNNNNNNNNNNNNNNNNNNNNNNNNNNNNNNNNNNNNNNNNNNNNNNNNNNNNNNNNNNNNNNNNNNNNNNNNNNNNNNNNNNNNNNNNNNNNNNNNNNNNNNNNNNNNNNNNNNNNNNNNNNNNNNNNNNNNNNNNNNNNNNNNNNNNNNNNNNNNNNNNNNNNNNNNNNNNNNNNNNNNNNNNNNNNNNNNNNNNNNNNNNNNNNNNNNNNNNNNNNNNNNNNNNNNNNNNNNNNNNNNNNNNNNNNNNNNNNNNNNNNNNNNNNNNNNNNNNNNNNNNNNNNNNNNNNNNNNNNNNNNNNNNNNNNNNNNNNNNNNNNNNNNNNNNNNNNNNNNNNNNNNNNNNNNNNNNNNNNNNNNNNNNNNNNNNNNNNNNNNNNNNNNNNNNNNNNNNNNNNNNNNNNNNNNNNNNNNNNNNNNNNNNNNNNNNNNNNNNNNNNNNNNNNNNNNNNNNNNNNNNNNNNNNNNNNNNNNNNNNNNNNNNNNNNNNNNNNNNNNNNNNNNNNNNNNNNNNNNNNNNNNNNNNNNNNNNNNNNNNNNNNNNNNNNNNNNNNNNNNNNNNNNNNNNNNNNNNNNNNNNNNNNNNNNNNNNNNNNNNNNNNNNNNNNNNNNNNNNNNNNNNNNNNNNNNNNNNNNNNNNNNNNNNNNNNNNNNNNNNNNNNNNNNNNNNNNNNNNNNNNNNNNNNNNNNNNNNNNNNNNNNNNNNNNNNNNNNNNNNNNNNNNNNNNNNNNNNNNNNNNNNNNNNNNNNNNNNNNNNNNNNNNNNNNNNNNNNNNNNNNNNNNNNNNNNNNNNNNNNNNNNNNNNNNNNNNNNNNNNNNNNNNNNNNNNNNNNNNNNNNNNNNNNNNNNNNNNNNNNNNNNNNNNNNNNNNNNNNNNNNNNNNNNNNNNNNNNNNNNNNNNNNNNNNNNNNNNNNNNNNNNNNNNNNNNNNNNNNNNNNNNNNNNNNNNNNNNNNNNNNNNNNNNNNNNNNNNNNNNNNNNNNNNNNNNNNNNNNNNNNNNNNNNNNNNNNNNNNNNNNNNNNNNNNNNNNNNNNNNNNNNNNNNNNNNNNNNNNNNNNNNNNNNNNNNNNNNNNNNNNNNNNNNNNNNNNNNNNNNNNNNNNNNNNNNNNNNNNNNNNNNNNNNNNNNNNNNNNNNNNNNNNNNNNNNNNNNNNNNNNNNNNNNNNNNNNNNNNNNNNNNNNNNNNNNNNNNNNNNNNNNNNNNNNNNNNNNNNNNNNNNNNNNNNNNNNNNNNNNNNNNNNNNNNNNNNNNNNNNNNNNNNNNNNNNNNNNNNNNNNNNNNNNNNNNNNNNNNNNNNNNNNNNNNNNNNNNNNNNNNNNNNNNNNNNNNNNNNNNNNNNNNNNNNNNNNNNNNNNNNNNNNNNNNNNNNNNNNNNNNNNNNNNNNNNNNNNNNNNNNNNNNNNNNNNNNNNNNNNNNNNNNNNNNNNNNNNNNNNNNNNNNNNNNNNNNNNNNNNNNNNNNNNNNNNNNNNNNNNNNNNNNNNNNNNNNNNNNNNNNNNNNNNNNNNNNNNNNNNNNNNNNNNNNNNNNNNNNNNNNNNNNNNNNNNNNNNNNNNNNNNNNNNNNNNNNNNNNNNNNNNNNNNNNNNNNNNNNNNNNNNNNNNNNNNNNNNNNNNNNNNNNNNNNNNNNNNNNNNNNNNNNNNNNNNNNNNNNNNNNNNNNNNNNNNNNNNNNNNNNNNNNNNNNNNNNNNNNNNNNNNNNNNNNNNNNNNNNNNNNNNNNNNNNNNNNNNNNNNNNNNNNNNNNNNNNNNNNNNNNNNNNNNNNNNNNNNNNNNNNNNNNNNNNNNNNNNNNNNNNNNNNNNNNNNNNNNNNNNNNNNNNNNNNNNNNNNNNNNNNNNNNNNNNNNNNNNNNNNNNNNNNNNNNNNNNNNNNNNNNNNNNNNNNNNNNNNNNNNNNNNNNNNNNNNNNNNNNNNNNNNNNNNNNNNNNNNNNNNNNNNNNNNNNNNNNNNNNNNNNNNNNNNNNNNNNNNNNNNNNNNNNNNNNNNNNNNNNNNNNNNNNNNNNNNNNNNNNNNNNNNNNNNNNNNNNNNNNNNNNNNNNNNNNNNNNNNNNNNNNNNNNNNNNNNNNNNNNNNNNNNNNNNNNNNNNNNNNNNNNNNNNNNNNNNNNNNNNNNNNNNNNNNNNNNNNNNNNNNNNNNNNNNNNNNNNNNNNNNNNNNNNNNNNNNNNNNNNNNNNNNNNNNNNNNNNNNNNNNNNNNNNNNNNNNNNNNNNNNNNNNNNNNNNNNNNNNNNNNNNNNNNNNNNNNNNNNNNNNNNNNNNNNNNNNNNNNNNNNNNNNNNNNNNNNNNNNNNNNNNNNNNNNNNNNNNNNNNNNNNNNNNNNNNNNNNNNNNNNNNNNNNNACUAAUUAAUCACAUAACGACGUGUUGUAAGGGUCACAAAUGAAGUAAUAUCCACAAAUAAAGUUCCAAGACUUCAAAUAUGUAGUACCGAAGUUUUACUUAGGUAGUAUUUAAGGUCGGUUAAGGUAGUACCUAAGGUAGAUUAAGGUAGUACCUUAGGGCUAUUAAGGCAGUACUUAAGGUACAAUCACCAAAAUACCAAAGUUGAACCAACUAAUUACACUAAUUAAUUACAAAAUGACAUGCUCUAAAGGUCACAAAUGAAGUAAUAUCCAUAAAUGAAGUUUUGAGGCUUCACACAGGUAAUACCUAAGUUUAGCUAAGGUAGAACCUAAGGUCAGUUAAGAUAGUACCUAAGGUAGAUUAAGGUCGUACCUAAGGGCUAUUAAGAUAGUACCUAAGAUACGGUCACUAGUUGAGGUCUGGUCGAGGACUGGUCAAUUGGUUCGUCGGGACCCAAUACUUUAAGAGUCUCCUAUGCUUCAUUUUCUACACCAUUUCCUCUGAUUCUUCAAGGGUUUCGCUGAUUUAAUGAUCUAGGAGAGAUGUUUGAUGUUAUUUCUUGCUAAUAAAACUAUCUUGGACAUAGAUUUGCAAGUCUAGGACACAUUUGGAGGUUCAGGUUCUAGUUUUUGGGUAUCCACUCUCUCCACCUGAGCUCCAUUUCUUUUUUUUUUUUCGGAUUCUCUUGGACUCCCAUGGCUCCUAGACGAGCUGAAAUGCGUAUUUUGACAUCGUCUUGGAGUUUUGGAUUUGGGUUUUUGAAUUGAAAUGUGAGAUUUUGAGUUUUCAAGAGUGAAGAAAGAUGAGAGAAAACUUCCAAAUGAGAGAUGGUGAUAUAGAGGUUGGAAUGAUGUUGAGGACACUAAGGUGGAGAAACGGAGGGGCAAUUUGGGCACAGAAGAUGGAGUCGGCUUAGAGUGCACAAAAAUGAUAAAACUUUUCAUAUUAAAAGCUGAUUGUCAUAUUUCCCAUUGUUGGGUGUUGAAAAAUGCUAUUAUGUUGGGAUGGGAAGCCCAAAGCCCAACUUCUUAAGGAAAAAAGAAGAAGAAUUGAAAUAGAAGAAACCAAGAGGAAAUGGAAAAGAAAAAAAUGAGAUAUAGAUGGACAACUGGGUGAAUGAAUGUGUGGUCCUUAGGGUUUUUAUUAGAUGAACGGUGGGGAUUGAAGCAAAAAGGAAGGCCAAGAUUUAAUUCUCUAAUAAAAAUUUGAUUAAAAGUCAAAAGGAAUUUGCCUAAUAUACAUUAACCAAAAUUCCUAAAAUAAAUAAAAUAAAAAAGUGAAAAAAAAACAAAAUAAAUAAUAAUGAUAAUAAUAAUAAUAAUAAUAAUAAUAAUAAUAAUAAUAACAAUAAUAAUAAUAAUAAUAACAAUAAUAAUAAUAAUAAUAAAAUGAAAAGAGUUCACGACAAAUUUUAGGGUCUACAAAUUGAUUUUAGAAAGGUAUAGAAAAAAAUUACUUCUUGUAAGUUGACUUGUACAAAAAUCUAAGUAAUGUUUUAAGAAACUUUUGUAGGAAAAAAUGAUUCUUAUAAAGUUAAAGUUUUAAUUUGAAUUUACCUUAAAAACCAUUAUGAUUUUUAUACCAAAAUAGGGGAAAAAAAAUCUUAUGUAACUCAUUGUCAUUGGGUAAGUUAAUGCUCAAUUGUUAUCCAAAUAAUUGAAUAUAUGAGCAUUAAGUGUAUGUAAUAAAUAUACAAAUAAAAUGAAGUAAAUAGAAAAUUGGAACUCACAAAUAUGGUUGAUUGAACUUACCGUUUGACUCUAUGUCCUUAAGACAAAUAUAUCCCGCUUAGGUGCUUACAGUUUGUUGACAAUCGUUUUCUAGGAUAUAACGAUAACUUUUUCGUGAUAGUAGCACUUCAAAUCACAAGAAACAACGAAAUACUUGGUGCUUCGUACUCUCCUAUAUAUCAAAUAUUUGGCAAAAAAGAGAAAUAAUUAAACUUAAAACUAAAAAUGACUUGAAUGACAAGAAAUGAGAAAGAGUGGAGAGAAUGGAUACAUGAAUAAAAAUGUCAUGGAGGUCCCUAUUUAUAGAUUUGAUGGUGACCUUUAGAAGAGAUGUGUCUUUAAAAUACUAGACACAUCUUUUGAAGGAUUGUGUUUUAAGACACUAAACACAUCAUCUGAAAGAGGUUGUGUCUAUUAAGAGAUAACAUGUUUUUCAAGAAAAAAAAAUCAUAAUUUUCAUUCAUCUAUAUAAAUUUCAACAUAAACAAGGAAAGGGAUGAAGGAUUAAAGGCUAAAUUUUUUAUUGUCUUUGCAUUUCUCUAAUGCAAAAAUUCUUAUUUUUCAUUUGGGUUGAAGGAAGGUAUAAGAAAGUAAAAAUAUUGUUUUCUCACAAGUGCUUUUAGUCAAGAUCGAAGCUUUUUGAAAAAAAGUCUAAGCAUGUGCUAGUGAGCAAGAACAACUAUGGAAUGAGUUUUUUUUUCAGGUACUCACCCCUAAUGGAAUGAGUUUAGGAUUAAAAUAAAUGUGAUAAUAGUGGAUUUGAGUUUUUUUUUUUUUAACCUAGUGUGGUUCUAGUAUCGCUUUAUCAGUCCAAUUCAAAUUAUAUAUAAAAUUAAUUUUAAAAAUUAAUUUAAUUUAGACUUUUUAUUUCUCAAAUAAUAAGUUAUAAAAAAAUAUAAUAUUUUAAUUAUUCAUAAAAUAUUUUUAUUUUUCAAUGUAAUAAUUUUAUAAAAAAAAAAUCAUGUUUUCAAAAAAUAAAAAAUUUAAAAGGGACUAGGUAAAGCGAGUAUGUGAAAUUUGCAUUCCUGUUCAACCCAACUCGUUUAAUUUUCUUAUUAGGGUGGAGAUGAUAAUUAUUUUGAAUAAAUGAGAUAGGUUAGGAUGAUGAAUACCGGCAAGUCGGUACGUCAAAGCAUUGAAGGUAACCUUUCCAUACCCUUAUUUUUAUAAUUAAUAAUAUUUAAAAUGUAUAAAAAAUAAAAAUAAAUAAAAUAAAUGAAGAACCUAUGACAAGUAAAGACAUGAACAUUAUAUAAUUUUUUGCAAUUAAUAAUUAAAUAAUUUCAAAAAAUAAAAUAAAAUCAAUUAACUAAUUUUUUUUUUCUAUAUGAAAAAUCAAUUAUUUAAUUUCAUAUGAGAAAAACAAAAAAUAGAAAGAGAGAGGUCGGCGGGGAAUGUAUGAAGAAGAACAGGGGAAAAUGAAUUAGAGGUGGGGAGAACGGAGGGAAUAACCGAGGAGCACCAGUGGAGAUCUCUCCGGAGCCAAGUGAAAAUGUCGAAGCUACCUAGGCCGGAGUGAGCUGCCGCCGAUGGUGUUGAGAAGCCUGAGAUGCCGCCGUCGACAGUAAGGUCAGAGUUAGGGUUGCAUUUUUUUUUUCUCUCCUUUGAUUUCGCUCUCCACGAGCUGUUUUGGGUUACGAGACAUCAUUUUUUCUUUUAAAUUUAUUUAUUUAUUGGUCUAGCCAUCUCAAUCACAGAAACACCUAGAAGGCUUACGCCUCAAGCUCCGGCGCGUUGAAGGCGCAUUGGAAGCAUGCCUCGCCUUUAAUUGCUCUUUGAUUGUUUUGUGAUGUUUUUCCCAUUCCAGUUAUUUGCACUUUGAUUGUUUUAUGAACCUCUUGAUUUUAUUUUUUUGAGAGUUUAAUGGAUCAUGGGGACAACUGUACUCUGGCUGAGGUUAAUGCAUGAAUCCUUUGAAGAUAUCACUUUCUACGAUUUGUAUUUAUACCUAAUGUUUCUAUGUUCUUCUGCCUUUAGAAACAUGCAACACUGGGUAAUUUGCAAAUUUUAUUUUCUGUUUACAAAAGAGGAUCAAAUUUUCUUUUUUUUCCUUUUCUAUUCUCUUUAUGUUUGUUGACUACCAAACAAGCCCUAUGAGCGCCCAAAUUAAUUGAGUGUUAGGCAUAAAACCCGUCCACAUUAAUUUCUUGCAAGCACUUACUUCGGUCUUCUUCAAAAUAUAUAUAUAUAUAUAUAUAUAUAUAUAUAUAUAUAUUUUUGCUGCAGUUAUUGUCUCAUUCUUACUUUCUUUUCUUGGUUUCAGCUACCAUAUGGAAAGCUGGCAACAUGUCCAAGUGCACAUUUGUCGGAUUUUAGGGAUCCAGCUGAUAUUCCUUGUUGGUUUUGGUUUUUGCAUGAGUAGUUCUUUCGUUUCAUGUGAGGUUGGUUAAACACAAUUCUUGUAUUUGCAUUUUUUUUAAUUAUUUUUUAUGAUGAAUUUUUGUUGUCAAAGCUCUGGGCUUCUAUCCAACUAUUUAUCUGGUAUUGCAAAAGCUUCUGCCAACCAUCUAUGUCUAGAAUUUUGUACAUUCUUUGAGUUGGUCUAUGCUUUCACUGCACAUCUGAUAUUUUUACCCACUAUGCGUGUUCGAUUGAUAUGAAUUGAACUUGAUUAAUAGUCUGUCAAUCUUAGGAAAUUUUAUUUUCUUUUGAACUGUUAGAAAGCUUACUGAAACCAUACCAGAACCCAUUUUUUAAAUUCUUGUAUUAUUUUAAGAAAUUAUGGCUGAAGUAUGGAUGAGGUUAAAUUCUCUAGAAUUCAUGCUAGGAUUACCACUUUCUAAUAUUCACUAUGUGGUCAUGAACUGUUUUGAUAUACAUCAAACUUUUGGUUUUGUUAGUUGUAGUUUCAUGAGAGCAUGGAACAUCUUCUUAGUUCAUUGCAGCAUAAGAAUUUCAGUUUGCAGGCUUCUUGCCCCACUCUUAACUGCAAAUCUUUGAGCAAUCCAAAACCCAUUAGUUUGUUUGUUUUAGAGGUAAUAGAAAGUCCUUUCUUCUGUGCAAGGUCUACUUCUUUUAAUCCCUUCAGAUUGAAUACAUAUUGGCUUUAGUAUGAUGGACCAUAUUUUUGUCAUAAAACCUUGACCUUUCCCGUAUACAAUGUGAUAAGCAUUUUCAAGGGCAUAACAUACAUCUAGCAUCUUCACCCUAUUUAACGAAGCAAAGGUAACCAAUACCUUGUUCCCUCUUUGAAAUCAUGCAAGUUUGUAAAAAUUAAGAUGCUUUUUAAUGGAAAAUUUCAGACUUUCAACAACCUUCUUUGGAACUAGAUUUUUAUCACUAUUACUAUCAAGAAUGAUAGUUGUCUGAUUAUCAUUACCUGUGAUACUUAUUAGUCUCUUCCUUUAAUGCUAAGAAUAGGGCAACAAUGGGGGAGUUUCCUUGUGAUCUUGGGAUCCCAUAGAACUAUUUUUUCUUUUCACUUUCUCCUAUCUUUGAGGAAAAAAAGCAUCUUGCAUUAUGUAGAAGUCCCAUUUCACAAAAUUUUUGCCUCAAUUAGCGCCUUUUGUUUGAUAAACUUGUUGACUAUCCUCUAUCCUCAUUUCUUAAUUUUCAGGUGGGCGGGUGUACCUCAAAUGUUGGCUCCACCAACCAAAGUUUAAACAUCCCACCUUAUUUUGAGAAACAUAUUACAAAAUCAUAUUUUGAUAAAUAUGAUAGCUUGCUUGAUUCAGAUUUCCUAGAUUUCAUAUCACAUGAACUUUUUCCUGGCUCUUGUGAACUGCUACUGGAUAAUCUGAAUCUUGUGCUGAGACUGUCAGUUCAACAACGCUCUCUGAUUGGUGAUGGUUCUCAUCGUCACCUUUCUUCAUCCUUCAGAUUUAAUAUCCAGUCGGAGUUAAUAGCUGAGUUACCAAUACACUUCUGUGAGGCCAUAAUCAUUGAAAAACUACCCUAUGGAAUCUUUGCUGACCCAUUUGAGCUACAACAUCUUCUUCAGCGUGGAGGUAAAAUACUUUCUGUAUCAUUCAAGCAACACAUCCAAGCACUCUUCUCCCUUUCCAAGAUUUUUGAGUCAAACCACAUGUGCAGUAUUUAUGGGUGCAGCUGUUUUUGGAGACACAAAUUUGGAAUUGCCAUCCGUUCAUUCCAACCGGUCCCUUGUUGAGGUUCACAUGGAUGUCGAUCUCAACACUUUUUCAAGACACAAGGAUGGUUUGGAAAUCAACAUAGAUCUUCCACUGCAUAUACGUUAUCCAGUAAGUGAAAAGGAGAUCACAGAAAGUGAAAAUAAAAAUAGACAGUAGUUUUUUUUUUCCCUGAAAUUUGAUUAAUAUUCUGCAAGACAUCUGCCAAGCAUUUAAAGAGUUUAGCACUUACUAUUUUUGCAUCUUUAAUUAUCUGAAUUACAUGGAUCUGGGUAUAUGUGUCAAGUGCUGGAUCAAUUUUAUUCCCAAAUAUCAAAAACAUGAGCUGCACUUUAAUUAACAAUUCUUGAUUCCCAUAUCUGAGUGACAUGAGGCAUGUUUCUCAUUUAAUUAACAAUUCUUCUUUUCCUAAACUCAUUUCUUAGGUCAUCUGAAUGAAAAUUGAAUUGAUAUGGACCUUGUCCCCAUUGAUGAUUCUAUGUGGUUAGCCUUUAGGGUUGUUACAGAAACUUAUUUUGGAAAUUGACAACCCAAAUAUAAUAUUAGAGAGAAUGGAUGGCAAUGGUAGAGUUAGACAGGUCAUGCCCCUGCUCUCAUCCCCAACCUCCUAACUUUUCAGGUAUUUAUAUAAUCCAUGUAAAUAAUUGUAACCAGAAGUGAACUUAAUGAAGUAGCCUCUAUAGAAUUUUCACUAAUACCGUGUGGGCCCUGCCUUCCAUCAGUCUAAUUUACACCCCUGCUCAGGACUCACAUCAAUUUUGCUAAUUUGUUUGACCCUGUGAAAUUUUCAAAAUUUAUUCAAACCCUGUCUUAUUGUAAGAAAACUGCUAGUUUGUCCCAUGAACACUACUAAUUGCUGGAGAACCUCUGAAUUAAAUAUUACAAACUGAAUGAUAAUAAGUUAUUCCAUUUCUUUAUGGCUUGAAACAAAUUAAGAAAAAUCACGACCUUUAGGUUUAGAGAUCACUUGAGCGAUCUAAAGCUAUAAGUUACAUAAAGUAACUUUAUUUAAAAUAAAAAUAGCUUCAAUUAUAAAACAAAAAUUCUGCAAAACAACUUGAUAACAUUAUAUUUGUAAUUCCUUCUUAAUUUCUCUUUGUACUCUUACAUUCCUGUUUCCCAAAAAAAUUCCUAGUCUGCAAUUGAAUAUAGGGGUCCAUGGAAAGGGUUAUUUAUCAUUGUUGAGGCAAUCUCUAAUUGGCAUUUUCCCAGUGAUACAGUUAGGAUACUCUUUAUCUUAUUGAUAAUCCUUGAAUUGCUUGUAUGCUUCCUCCUUCUAGUUCCACCUUUCGUAGUCUUCCCACUCAUUUUUGGCUUACCUAAACAUCUUUCUCUGCUUUGCUUGUCCUAUGUAUCUUUCCAAUUCAGAUUCUUAUAUGUACAUUUUGUCAUCCGCCUAGCUAGUCUAAAAAAUAUGAGAAAGAAAAAGAAAUGAUUAGUAAAGAUGCAAACUCAUAUAACAAAUGAAGUUUGUCAGGUGGUUUUGUCUGGACCUUAUUUUACAGUCUAUUGUGUAUAGGGAAUGUGGAUAGUUGUUUUUAUGACGUCCUAACAGUUACAAGGCAAUCUUGGAAGGCACUAUCUAAUAUCUCUCUUGUGCUGCAGCCCUUGGAAGAGAGUGGCUAUUCAAAUAUUGAACUAGGUGCACCAGACUUAUUCAUGCGCUGCAGCAUUGAAGCAAAGUCACAUAAUCAGAGCUGUUUAUUGAUGUUAAAAGAUAAUGGUGUUGCACUAGGGAAUGGCCCUGUAGUGUGGAGGGUACCUUCUGGAAUUAAGGCUCAUGCCAGAGCAGUGUCUAUUGUUACUUUCAUUUCAGCCAUAUUGUCGACUCUUUCAAUUGUGCUGACAUCUGUGUAUUAUUCAAGUACCAAAUUGUGCAAAAACCUAAAACAAUCUUAAUUCAUUAAACCUUUUCUGGGCCCUGAUAACUUUGCAUGUACUUUGAAAACACUGCUCUAAUGGAAGAAAAUGUCCUGUGGGUGAAAUUAUUUUAUUUUCCUCCUAUCAUCUGCUUUCUUUGCAUUUAAUAGCUGUAUUUUCAUAACAUUAGGCCUUGAAAGUGAGGAUGGGAUUCCUAAUGCUACAAAGAUUAUUCAUCCAUAGAUUGCACAAGUCUCCCAAAUUGAAAAUAGCUUAAUCUCUGAGCUUGUUAGAAUUGUUAUUAGAAGAUAUGGAAUCAAGGGGUUGACAGUAAAACACCCAAGAGUUUGAAAAUGACUUGACACUUGAAAGACUACAAGGAAAUUAAGAUAUAGUCACAAAUGGCUGCUCUUUUGGCUGUUGAUGAUCCCUCAGUCAUGAGAUUAUCAGUCAUAGUGGUGCUCUUCCUCAAUCAUGUAAGCUAGCCCCCCAAUUCUUUCUGCCCUCAUGAAAUCAAGGUACUCUCAUUCUCUGCACUAGACAGCAUUUUUCUCUUUGCAUUCAUUCUUAUAUUUAAUUUGACUUUGGUGGAUUGCAAGGAUUUGUUAGUAUUGAUAUCUGAUAAUUAUUUCCGCAGGUUUAGAGGUGGAGACUUGAAUGGUUUCUGAGAGUUUCAAGAUGAUAAGUGUUUCUUUUUUUAAGUAUUUUUAGUGAAAAUAUUUUCUCUAAAUAACAAAUAGAAAUUAUGUUAAGAAAUACUAACAAAUAGUAAUGAAGAUGUUUUAUAAUAUAAGUAUGUUAGGGAAUAUAACAUGAUCGUACAAAAUUAUGAGUUUCAUAAAAGAAGUUCAAAAUUUUCUCUAGGUUUUGUUGUAUUGUAAUGUUAGUAUCUUUAUUAUAUAAAUAUAAUAUAUUUUGGUUAUACUUGUAUUUUAUGACAAAGUAAUAACAUUAGAGAUACUUUUUAUACCUCAUCGACAUCGAACAGGUAUUAAUAUCAUCCACUUUAUGUAUUAAAAAUAAAAAUAUAUAUAAAAAUUAAGAUAAAACAUUGUACAAAAGAAAAAAUGGGAAAAAAAAAUAUAAAAUUAUACGAUUUUUUAAAAUUAUUUAAUUAUAAAGAGCUAAAGAUGAUUAAGCAUUUUAUAUCAUUUUCUAAUUUCAAACAAAAAAUUAGAUAUUUGUUCUUCCUCAAACUCUAUAAAAAAACAUGAUGUAUCAAUUUAAAAUUAGAAAAUGUAAAUGAAAAAAAUCAUCAUUCUUCUUACAUAAUUAUGAAACCUGUAUUUUUUUUUUAUUUUUUUUAAAUAAAAAUAAAAAUGUUCAAGAAAACACAUUAGACGUUUUGUUUUAGCUUAAAAAUUAGAUCUUGAUUACAGCUAAUGUAAGGGCCACGUGAUUUAAAAGGCUUGAAAAUAUAUAUAUAUAUAUAUAUAUACACGCUUUGAGGUGGAAUUUUGGCUUAUUAUUUUGCUAAACGAUCUUUCAGGGAAUUUUCCUUCCCUUCUUGUCUUGUUCUUCACAAUAAAUGGGGUAAACUGGCUAAUGGUAUUUUUUAAAAACAUUUCACAAAAUUUAAUGUAUGAAUAAAUAAAGUGUUGAAAAGGUUUCGAUACGAGCCUUGGGAAGUUCGAUGGAAAGAAAGGUGGCAUGAAGGUGUCAACUUGAUCCCGCCAAUAUGUUUCCGUUGCAGCAAGUGUAGGACGGUGAUGCUUCUAUAAAUGGACAAAGCCAUGGGUCUUCUUAAUGAUAUCAUUGUUUCCAAUUUUCGACCCCCACCUCUAAAAUAACAUAAAAAAUUAAAGCUACUUGGGUUCCUUUUUUAUUGUCAAAUAAAAUGAUUUACCACAUUUCUUUAAGAGGAUUCUUAACUAUCAGGAGAACAUCCAAAUAGUUAUAAUAAUAAAUAUAAAUAAAAAUCUAUUGUUCCAAGUAAUUCACCCAAUCCAUUUCUAUUAGAUGCCUAUUUCCAGACACUAACCCUACUGGCAUCAUCUAGAACAAUGAAUCCGCAUACCUCAUACCCCAAGGGAACAUAUUCAAAUGGUAGCAAUGAAACACAAAGAAUUAUAAUUUUUUAUUAAUAAAAAUAAAAGAAACAUUACACAACCAGACCCAUAUACCCUCAAAACAGCAACUUACAGUAAGAUGAGAACAGAUAUCAACCACAACUCACAACCACCCCCCUCCUCAAAUAAAAACAACUGAAUUAUAACCAGAUACCAACACUAUAUACUCCCUUGAAAUUGAAGCCAAGUUUCAGUCCCUCAUCAUGCAUGUCUCGUAAAACAUCAAAACCAAAGAAAUUAACAAAGAGACCACACCUUGUUGCCAAGCAGAUUACAGGUCUGCUCUAUGAUUGGACUCUAAGAAUUUUCUGAUUAAGCUGCAAUUACGAUGAUCACAAUGAGGAGGAUGAUCCCAAAUAUCACCAACAGCAAGCAGGUCUGCAAGAAAAGGAAAUGAUAUGUCAGAAUUCAUUUUUUUAGUGGAAAUAUAAAGGUUGGAGAUGAUAGAUGAAGAUGACAGUUAUCUGUCAAACAUGAUUCUCUUAAUUGAUGAACAUAAGCCAACUGAAUCAUUGCAUGUUGACCUAAAAGAGUAGGCACCAGUCUUUCUGAGAGAUCAAAUUCACCCCAUUAAUCAUCCACCUUGUAUUUCUUAAUAUAUUCACGUGGUUUUCAAUUUUUAGCACGAGUCUAUUACAGGACCAUUUAACUGGUCCUACCACAGAAAUGACCUGCAGUUAAAAAGUGCCUCCUGUUGUGAAGUUAUGCUUUUUAAGAAAAAGAAUUAAAGAGUUCAAGAUUACCAGAGAUGAAUUUGAUCGUUGGGUCUUUGAUGCUUUUGCAAGUUGGGAUUUUGCCUGUGCUGUUGCAGCCUGGGCACCAUCAAUGUUGGAGCCAAUAUCAUCUGAAAAGAGAAAUUGAAAUGAGAGUCAGCAGCCUGAAUCAGAAAGGGAAUAGCGAACUCUAGACAAGAGAGUCAGAUGAGUUACCAAUCAUAACUCCUUGCUCAUGGACCAGCACAGCAAGAUCUUUGAAAAUCUCAUUCACCUCGCCAAUUUGGUGCUGGAUUUCUUGUAUUCCCUGCUCCCUUUCUUCAAUGAUAGCCUCAUUGAAGACAAUCUCAUUGUCCAACAACAAGACCUCCUGUCUGCAGCACAAAUCAUCUAAUAGUUUAGGGGAGAGAGCAUAUUAGAAGAACCUAUUCUUAAUGCCUAGAAAUGAUAUAAUGUAGGGCAUGUGCCCAGUUUUGUUCAAAUGGAUAAGAUGCAAGGCAGGCCCUAGUCAAGGGUAGGCCCAUUCACCCCUGUUCUACAAUGAAAUCAAAACCAUCAAAUUGAGGUUUUGUUCAGAAUUUUGACACUCUCCAUUAGUAAACACAAAGUAAAUGUAUCUUCAGAAAAGGGAGGGUAGUGGUCCCACUUUUGAGUUUCAUUCUAAUUCUAGCCGUUUUGAGGUGUCCGCCAGUUUUCGCCUUUUUCCCUAUGGAGUUUUUAAGAAUUUGAUUAAAUUUUGGAAAAUUAUCUAAUCUAUAGCUCCACAUACUGUCUGGCACUAGAGACAAAAUGCAGGCCAAAAGAAUGAAACCUAAUAUAAUGGAGAUCCUUCCUAUUAACAUGAGACCCAGCAAGAUUUUCCUGAUCAUAUUGUAAAAUUAAGAUCACUUUUUGAUGGGGUUAUAGACCAAGGAGAGAGGAUUGCCAGUUGAUGGCAAAGUCUUUGAUAUAUGGGCUUCUUGUUUAGCCCUUAGUUUUUUAGUUUCACAUCACUGAUUCUAAUUGUAAGAUGUCUUAUAGAAGAAGGGAGACCAUGUUAUUAUCCAAUUGGGAGCUUACACAUCAUCAACUUUAACAUGCAUGUCUCAAUAGAAGCCUCACCAUAUAGAUAGCAAGCACGGACCUAUAUAUGAGAUAACAAAUGGUUUUUUCUGUUUUUUUUUUUUUUUUGAUCAGAAGAGAUAACAAAUGGUUUUUGGCAAUUAAAAAAUCCAUGCUGACAGAUCUGGAAUAAAAACCUUGCUGGUCAGAAAAAUAAUGAAAAAAAAUUUAACCAGAAGUUCUUAACACCCUUAUUGGUGUAUGAAGUAGUUGUAGUAUGCAGUCCAUUCCUAAAAAUAUUUCCUGAUAUAUCCUAAUAAACUUUUGUAAACAACAGUCGCUUUAAAAAAAAAAAAUUAAGAACACCAAAAAAAGAAAAGGGUACCAAUCCAUGAGUGGAGUAAACAUCACAGAACAAUAUGAAUUCACCUUCUAGAUUCCACAAGAAGAGCACGUUGUUCAGGACUCUUAUCUGGACCUACAUCUAUCUCACUUGCCGUAUAGCUGCAGAUCAAACCAAUAAUAUGAGCAUAAGACAGAAAUGCAAGUUUGAAAUUGUAGAGAAGUAUAAUGCACUCAGAACCACUAAAAUGAUAUCACUGCAUUGAAAGAAUCAGGCAGAUUUUGUAAGACUCAACAUUUGGUGAUUAAAAUUGACAGCUAAUAUGUUGUGCACAAAAACUAACUACAAAUAAGACUUACAAUAAUUACCUGGAAGGAAGAACUGACUGGGGAACAAAAGGAGUAUAUGCCGUUUCCCUUUCUGCUGCCAGCCGUUGAGCCUUCUGAAACUCUUUUAAAACUGCUUGAAAAUCUUUUGCCAGUUUAGCAUCUGCAAUCUUCUUGCUGGCCUGCAGUUAGAUGGAGAAUGUUCAAGGCAAUUACACCCCUCAAAAAAGAUCACAGCACUGGAAGCAUCCUCUUCUGUUUCCUUUUUCUAACAUAUCCAAAAGUUGAAAAUAUUUGCUCCAGAAAACUUCAGCAGAAACUCUUAUUAAAAAAUGGUUUAUGCAAAAAAAUCUCCAUAGAUCAUGUUGUUUUUGAAACUAAAGUCGGUACCAUAGAUGCCUCUUGGAUGGAAUUGAUAAGUUUGCCACAAUUGCUGAGUACAAAUAAAUAGUAAGAAAGGGAGAGAGAAAUUCUUGCAAAAUCAAUAGUAUCGUAUCAUGAAAGCAAACUUACACUAACUUCAGCAUGAUGAUCUGUUUCGCUAGCUUGCUUAAGUUUAGCAGAGGUAUCCUUGACUAACUGCCCAAUAUGUAGCCUCGUCUUGUGCCUGCCAGAUCAGCAGAACUAAUAUGAGAAUCACAAGAGGUAAAAAAAAAAAAAAAAAUUAUCAUGAAAUCUUCUUGUUGAAAUUGUUCAAAAAGAAAUGCAAAUAAAAGGUAAUAAAGUACAUAUUUACAAGAGCACUAAACUGACCCCAGCCUCUCCUAAUUGCCCUACACUACCCCAUCUGAAUGCCCCUCUUGCCUCCUCAAUAACCCAAUUCCUGAUUUCUACCAGACACUUAAUAAGCAUGACUCUCUUCAGGCUACUAUCCUUGUCAACAAACUUCUGUUAGCAUUUUCCCAAGAAUGCUUUAUCUAUCUCCAUAUUCCUGGCUCCCAGCCCAACCCUUGCUUUUGGCCCACAAAGCACCUUUAAGCUUCCUACAUAAGCCUUCCUCUCUCUCCCAAGCCCACCCCAAAUGAAUCCCUUUGCAGCUUCACAAUCUUCCUUGAAACUAACCUAAAGCACACAAAGUAAACAUGGAAUAUUUAAGAGUACUAGCUGUAACUCAGAAUUUAGGUGAUUCCAACUCCUUUAGACAGAUAUCACAUUUACAAAUAGAUAAGACAUUUUUCCAGUCUCUCCACAAUCAGAUCCCAAAUUGAUUUCGCUUUAAAGAAAGCUCCCAAUGGAAGACCUAAUCACAUUGAUGGCACUAAGCCCAACUUACAGUAGAACUCAGAAGCCAACCCAUCAACAUCCUCCUCUUCCCUACCCACAGGAAAUAACUCAUUUUUCUCCAUGUUAACCCUCAAACCUGACAAUGAUUCAGAACAAAUACGGAUACAAUAACAAAUGUCAAUUGACUUGCCUCAGCACAUGGAAUAUGAAAAACAAAUCCUCCCUAAGGCCCUUCAAACCCACCCUAAACCAUCAAUAUCCCACUAAAACCCUCCCAUCACAAUCAUGAAAGUAGGCAAUGGAUCACCUUGACUAAUCCUCUUGAUCUAUGAAACAACCUAGUCAACACCCCUUAACAAUUAUUACUAACUCUGCCCACCCAUUUAUUCCCAAAACACAUCCUCCCAUAUACACAACAAAGAAGCUCCCAAAUGUUACAUGGUCACAAGCUUCUCAAGAUAAGAUUUGCAAACCACCCAAUUAUGUCUGAUAGACUGAUUUGCAAUGAAACCACAAAAAGGAUCUGGUGGCCACUACAAAAGCAUCCCAUACUUCAACCAAAAAUCACUAUAGUGAAAGGCACACUCAAGUGCUAAAAAAUGCACAAGGACAGGAGGCACUUGGCACUGGAUCAGGCUAUGCUUCUAAUCAAGUACCACAUGCGGCCAAGGCACACAUUAGGUGUGGCUUCUUUAAUCUUCUGCUUUUGUUAGAGAUAAAAUUCAUGAUAGUUGUGUGUCAUAGAAAGCCAUAGAUGGUUCUCAUUUAAAAGAAAUUCACAUGAUUUGAGCCUUUGAAUGUGCCACCCAUGAUGGCUAUAAGUAGAUUGCAAAAAUCAUAGGUUUCUCUCAUUCAAAAGGAACUCAUGGUUCCCUAUAGAGAAAAUGACUGUUCUUUGUCUUGGGUCUCUCUACUUUCGAUCGCUCUCUUUUGUGUCAAGUCUUCUUUAAAAAAUAAAUAAAUAAAUAAAUAUUUCCGUAUCAUCUCACUCUUUUAUCACUAUUUUUAUUUCUCUUUCUUGAAGAAGAAGACAAAGAAACCCAAUGGGCAGAACUCUCUCUCAAUCAAAGAAGUUAGGGGCUGGAAAAGUAAACAAUACAAACCCCAACUAUUUUAUCCUUUCUCAUCAACACAACAGACACACUCUCUCUGUGUGACAAGCAAACAAUCUCUCCCUAUCUUUGACACUGUUAGGCUGCCAGCAUGGGUAUCAUUUAGGAGUUUCAUGAGGUACACUUAGGCACCUUUUUUUCUGCAUUGAUUUUUCCCAAAUUGCUUGCUGAAAUUACUUAUAGGACCCUUCCUAAUAAUUACUUUGCAUAGAAAUCAAAGCUUCACAUAUUUGUUAUUAAUUAUGAUUGGAAGUUUUUUCUAUGCUUGGAACUAGGAAUUUCAGAUCUAUUUGGUGUAAUAGUAUUGCUAUGUGGAUGACCAUUUAUACAUUGUGUAUUAUAAUGGUUGAGCCCAAAUAUUGAACAGUGAUACAAGAAAAAUGUCAUCAUAUUUAGUCAUUUUUUUAUGGGUACAAAUUUACAAACUUGAUACGGUCUAUCAAAGAGAAAAAAUUUACAAAUUUUAGAUAAAUUGCAUGUUAAACUCUAUAUCUUGCAUUGAUCAAUUGGGUUGUAUCUAUGCUACAGAAAACCUUCACACAUUUUACAACUAGUCUUCCAAAACUUAUUUCUAUCAUUAGACCAUCACCCAAACGCCAAAGGCCCUAAAUUAUUCAUUGUCCAGAAAUUCUAGCAACUUUUUUUCCCCCCUAAAAGCCUAACCUCUAUUAACCUCCAAAAAUUAGCCUUAAACCUUAAUAAUUGGCUUCCAUCUUCAAGAACUACAGAAUGCCAGAAUCAAAAGCUCAUCCUAGACCUUGACCCACCAAUAGAGAUUGAGUGCGGUGUCCCGCAUCAAGAAGUUAUGAAUAAGAAUUAUGUCUCUGUUUUUGUUAAGGUCUUCCGCUUACAUACAAAACGAACUAGAGCACACCAGAAAGAGAGUGUAAUGUCACGGACUUAGUCGUUUCCUAAGCUUGUGCGACACUUAGACAAGUCAAGACAUUUGAUCUUGCUAAGUCAGCCUUACUCCCAACGCUUAGCUUGCUAAGCUAAGAUGCUCAAGACUCAUAAGCUUGAGAAGGCGUAGUAGGCGACUCUUAAAGAAUGGAAGCUUUAUUGCUUUCAAAGGAAGUUUUACAAUGCUUGGAAGCUCACUUGCUUGGUUAGGAAGUGAUUUGGGUGGUGUCUUGGCCAAAUGAGGGUCUCACCUAUUUAUAGGCACCAAUGGAACUUUCUGGAACCUUAGAGGGUUCCUUACAAAUCAAAAAUAUUCUAAAACUCCCUACACUAAUCUAUGUACAACCUUAUGUACAAGAAUAUACAAGAAAUCUCUAGAAUUCUCUAAAAAGCCCUGGACUCCUCUCAUGCCUUCCACCAUAGUGUAGAGAUGUGUGGACUUCUCUAGACAUCUCUAGAACCUUCCAUACUCUUCCCACUAAUGGCUUAGUGUAAAUGGCUCCAGGAGUCUCCAAAAGCUUCCUGGGCUCUAUAUAAGCCCAUGGGGAGGGUCAUUUGAAGCAUCCUGUGACAUUAAGCUCACCUUUCUAGUGGAUCAUCCAGGCAUUCAAAAGUAAAAAGCAUAAAAUACAAAACUACAAAAGGGAAAGGGCAAGUUGUGCAGUUUUCAAAGAGGGUGUGAUGUUACCUAUAUGGGUUAGCACAUGCCAAGAAAUUUACUGAUCCAUCCUAGCAUUGGUUGAUUUUUCCCAGUUAAACAUGCAUGGAUAUUUGCUUUUAAGUUAGGAAAAGGAGGACCAAUCAAGGGCCAGGUCGGUUUUGUGCUCAUACAUUAGGUAAACCAACCCAACCAGACAACCAAUUUCAUAACUAGGAAUACGAAACAAACACACAAAAUAAAUAAAACAGACACACAUGAAUAUAUGAUAGUUAAACCAUUUUUAUUUUUUUAAUUUUAGAUGGGUGACCAUUCAACUAUAUUUUUAUGUCAUUAACCUAAUUUAUAAGAUGGAUUCCCAUAGAGACUUUGUCUCUCCUUUAACUUGUCACACACUGGAUAAUUUUGAAUGAAAAAGAAAAAGGAAAAAUAGCACUUACAACUCCCUAUCAGCACUAACUGAGCCUCAUCUGGAUGGGUUUGAUUCAGUCCUACAUAAGCAUCCUUUUCUAAGAUAAGAAACUUAAAACCUGACAAGUUGAUAUAAACCUGCUAAGGCGAGUUAUACAUAUACUAUACCAAAAAACCAUAAAAUUCAUUAAUCUUAUAUAUCUAAUCUCCAAAAUCCUAAUAAAUUCAGAGAAGCAUUGCUCAAGCUGGAAGAUGUUCAUCCAUGAGAUUCUAAACUUUUAAUAAGUUGCUUUGAGUCUCUUACAACAAUCACUAAGGAUAAUUUCUCAUCAAUUCAUCAAACCCAAGCCCUGAACUUAACAUAGAUUCAGGCCUACUAUUACCACUUGACCUAUGUGACCCUAUAAAAACUCCAACCGAAAAAAAUUGCUAUUAAGCAAGAUAUUAGAAUUGUUCAUUUUGUAUCUUUAUUAGUUAAUUUGGUGUUCUUAAUUACUGAUUUUUUUUUUUUUUUUUUUUCUGAUAAGCAACAGAAAGUGGAUUGUCAAGUCUUCCUAUCUUUUUUAUGUCUUUGUUCUUAAUCCCUAAAAAGGUGAGUCUAAGAUUGAAGCAGACCCAGAGGAACUUCCUUUUGGGGUUGGGCUGGAUCAGUGAAAAAGCUUCCUCUGGUUAAUUGGUCCAUAGUUUUCUGAAAUAAAAAGAAUGGGGGCCUUGGUAUUAGGAAUCUCUCUUCUCUUAACAAGGUGCUCCUUGGCAAAUGGUGCAGGAGAUUUGCAUAUGAAAGUGAGUCCCUUUGGAAAAAUGUUACUGCACAAAAAUUUGGGGAAGAAGAAGAGGGAUGGUGCACAAAGACAGUGAGGGAUGAUCAUGGGUUGGCUGUGUGGAAGGCUAUUAGAAAUGGGUGAAUCCUUUGUUAGUAGAACACACUUCAUUCUUGGUAAUAGAAGAAGGGUCAAAUUUUGGAAAGAUAGAUGAUGUGGUGACUCAUCUUUGGAAGUGUCCUUUCCAUCUCUAUACUCUCUAGCCUGUGAUAAAGACUUGAGUACUAGAGGUGUGGGAACAAGGAGGAGAGGGGGGUUGGUAGAGGCCCUGCUUCUUGAGGCAUUUUCAUGAUUGGGAAAUUGAAGGAGUAAUGACUUUUCUGCAGACCCAACAGAAGAGCUCGAUUAGGAGUGAGGAAGAGGACAAAUUGAUGUGGAAAGAGUUCAAGAGUGUUGUGUUUUCAGUGAAAUCUUUCUACCAUAUUUUUGUUCCAGAAAGGAGUGAGCGUUUCCUCUCAAGUAAUGUUUGGAACUCAUGGAUGCCUGUAAAAAUGAGUUUCUUUGCAUGGGAAGCAACUUGGGAGAGGAUUUUACAAUUGGUCAGCUUAACAGGAGCAGAUGGGCAAUGGCUAAUUGUUGCCUUGCGUGCAAAAAUGAGGAAGAAUUGAUUGAUCAUCUACUUCUCCAUUGCCCUAAAGCUAGUAUCCAUGGCAUUUGGUUUUCCCAUUUUUUGGUGUGGCUUGGGUGAUGUGGUCCAUAGAAAGAGAUAAUCUUUUGAGUUGACACGACUCUUUCAUGGGGAAAAAAGGGAAAAAAAUUUGGAGGGCCGCUCCUUUGUUGUGGAAGGAAAUAAGCAGGAGGUUGUUGAAGAUUUGCAACAGUCUAAUCAGAAAAUCAAAGCCUGUUUCGUGAAUACUUUUUAGGAAUAAAUUAGAGUGUCCAUAGAUGAUCAUUCCUUGUCCAUGAUUGACUUUGUUGAUUGGUUUAGCUUAAUCUAAGGAGAGGGAGGUUCAUUUUUGUGUUUCCUUUCCUUCUUCAGGAUGUCUUAUGUGGAUGUUAUAUGUAUACACUAUACACGGUGUAUACAUUGAUACACCUUUACUUAGGCAUUUCUAAUAUUAUUUCACUUUUUGCCUAUAAAAAAAAUAGAGUAAGCAGGAGAAAAUAUAUAAAUGAAAAAAGCCAUAUACCAAAAUACACAGGUUGUGCAUCACAAAAGGCGUAGCCAUAACAAGGGAAAAUACAAAAAACUGCUCCAUUCCUCAACUAGACCCCACCCAAUCUACAAAAUUGAAUUAAGUGUAUACUAGUGUGCCUAAUGUUUUAUGCUCAAUGGUCCCUUUCCAAGUGGAACCAAUAGAUUUGACUAAUAAAAUCAUGUAAGAAGCUCCUUUUCAUAGUAAUCCCCAUUAUCCAAGGGAGUGUUUUUUAAGACAUUGUGGACCCAGUGCUAUACCCCUUUUUGCUACCAAAUCAUAGAUCAUCCUGAGAAGAUGAAAGCAAAUGAGCUGACAAUAUUCAUAUCCCAUCCUCCAUUCCUCCUCAUAGACAGGUGCAACCUCUGUUGAAUUUGCAAUACUCUAGUAAAAUAUAUGUACCAAAGCCAAUCCUUCCUCUAGAUUAUUGUUUUGGUCAUAGUUUUAAAAGGUGCAAGGCCUACUUAGGGUGCAAAAGUCUCCUAGAGCUGAGGUGCAAGACGCAACACAAGGCACAUGCCUGAGUGAAAUGAAACCAAACCUAUGACACAUAUCGAUUUUAUCAAAUAUGAACUAAAAACUAAUUCAAUCAAUAAAAAAUUUAAGAAUCUAAACUCUUAAAGGAAUCUUUUAACAAAAAUAUAUAUAUAAAUUUCAAUAUACAAUUAGAAAUUUUAAAAAUAAAAAUGUUUAAAAAGGAAAAUUAAAGUAGAAGAGGCAUGCCUCUUCAACAAGGCACAUGUCUUGGCAAGCAAAGCCGUUAGGGAGUGGUUGCACCUUGGACCUCAGCACGCUUUAAGCGUGCCUUUUAAAACUAUGGUUUUGGUCAUCUUUACCUUUAAAUGAUGUAUGCAAACUUGGUAAAACAAAAAAUUUGAUGGACUGUUCAAAUUUAAGUAAGCUGAAUUUGAUUUAUUAACAUAGGGAAAUUUUUAAGGUCACUCUUGAACAGUUACCUAACAAACAAAGAACCAUUUUCCUUUCAGAUCGUAAUUGUUGGUCGUCUCCUUUCAACUGAGGAAAUUCCAACUCCCCUUCAGUGAUGAUGACUUCAGAAAGCUUAGGGGAAAACGAAUUUUAAUUAUAUUUUUAAGAUAAUAACUUGUAGCACUUAGUUCUCAACAAAACACACUGAACCAACUAUUCAUCCAACCUACGGAAAACCCCUUUUCACACCUGACACACUAGCCAUACCUUUAUUAAGCCCUAAUCUCAAUUUCCUCGAGCCCCAUUUCUCCUAUCCUAUCCUACAAAACUGGUAACAUUGUCGUUAACAGAAUCAAUGUUUCUAAACUGACUCUGAAUUUUUUUAUGUUUUUUUCUAACAUAUUUCUAAUGGGUAUUAUUGAUGGAGCAUUAGCUUCAUAGAAAAAAAUUAAUAAAUAUCAGCAUUUCAAACACAUAGAAAUCAGAAGUGAGAGUGGCGGCCGCAGUGCAAACUCAAUUCAUACCAUAAGAUAUGAGACGACUUAAAGUUCAAACAGACUCUCCUCUUCAGAAAAUACACGUCUUAAUGCUUGGUCAGUUAACAAAUAUAUUCCAGCGAUUAACAAAAGAAUUCAGAAAUGUUAAUAAAAAAUCAGCUAUUGAAGCACCGAAAUGCAGCCAUUAAGAAACCGCAUUAAAGCCGAUUAACCAAAACCAAAUUAAACCAAUUCAAUCGAACCAAGCCAAGCCUCACAACACUCACAACUUCUCCCGUAGCUCUGACGUGUCCUUGGGGGUUCCAAGCGUAUUAACGAGUCGCUGAAAAGUUGAAACCGCGGUAUUGAUCUGGAAAAUGCCAGAAGCAACGGCCUGCGUCGGAUCUUGCUUAGCAUUGAUGUAAUCUCGCCGGGACUGAGCCAAAGGGCGCCCAGAUUCGAGAUCCUGAAAGCUCAUAUCUGCGCGCGCCCUAGAAUUUUUCUCGGGAAAAUUGGAGAGGAUUUUCCGGCAAACCCUAGAAAAAUUGGACUAACGAGGGCAGAUAUCGAGGGCAGAAAAAGAGAAUUAGAGAGGAUAUCGACAGUAUGAAAAUGAAAUCACAAUUAUUUUUUGUAAACCUUCGGCCUGACCUAUAUAUAAUCACGUGAUUAUAUAAAUAUGUAUAUAAUCGGUUAACUUGCUGCCGGCACGUUGGCUGUCUACAGCGAAAUGACACGUAGCGGAAUACACAAUCGAAAGACAUGGUUG